UUUAACUACACUUUUUUUAGUCCCACAUCGAUAGAAUUCAAAACACACAAAGAAGGUUGGUUUAUAAAUAAAGAUUCAUUUUGCCUAAAACAAAUAUGAAGUCUUAAGAGUGGGAGGAGCUUUUAUUAAAAAUAAUAUAGCUCUUUUUAUGGACCAAUGUAUAAAUUUUUGGCAUAAAAAUAUAUUUUUAGCCUUAGUGAAUUUAUAAAGAAAAUAAAAUUACGAAAAUACCCCUACCGGUUAACCGGCCUAACCGGAAAACCGGUCAGCCAGAACCGGUUAUCGGUUAACUGGUUUUUAAACCUUGGCCGAACCACGUAAAUCUGUUUUGUUCUUGUUUUUUGCUCGGUUUUCUCAGUUCGAUUGAUGCAUCGAUCCUAUCAAGUGAGUGUUAACUUUUGUGUUCUACAAGAUCCAAGGUGAUUGUUCUGUUCGAACAAUAACAACCGAUAUCAGAGCCUCGUUUGAGGUUCGAUAGGUUUCUCGAAAAAGUGUGUGAAGUAAAAGAGUAAUCUGCUUCAACGACAGAAACACUGUUCAUCCGAAAAAGGUCUCUGCGGAAUACUAUUGACGUCCAAGAUUUUUUUUUGAAGUUUCCAGUAAAAGAGUAUUACGUUCUUUUAGAAAAAGUUGUUGCUGUUAACAAUAAUGUUGGGAACUAGAUCUAGAGCAAUGAAUUUUUUUAUUAAUCUUUAUCCAUUUUGGACCUCUUAGAAUGGGAAAGAGGAGAAGAAAGAACACGAACACAUGAAUUUAACAUGGCUUCACACAAUCACACCUAUAUGAAUAUCAUGCAUCUACACCACUUCUAUAGUGUUUUAUUGGGAUUCAUCUUUCAGAAUUUUGUUUAGAAAAUUUUAUACUUAAAUACUAUUCAUCUUUUAUUGGGGAAAUAUAAAUUUUUGAGCCAAUGCCUUGUAAAACAUUACAGGAAAUAAGUUACUUAAAGGGCAAAGCCAAAAAACUCAACAAGCAGUGUUACAGGUAAACAAUACUGUUAACAACUAGUUAUGUUUUGUUAGAAGUUAUUAGAGUCUUGUUUAGGUAUAUGAUGUUGACACACCCCUUCUAUAAAGGCUUUUAAAAUAUUUAGUCGUUACUAAUUAUGAUGUACUUAAAUUCUCACUUCUAAUAGAUAUUAUUACUUAUUAAGUUCAACAUUAUAUGAAUAAACAUCUCUACCAAUUCAUCACCUACGGCAUAGUGAGGCCUCAUUCCAAUUUACAGUCUGUGCUUGCAUAGUUCGUAUUUUAAAAAACAUCGAUUUUUUUCUAAGAAUUCCUAAACUCUGAUUUCAAAUCUGUUUUUUUAAAUGCAUAAAUUUCAUUUUUUGCAGAAAUUUCGUUCAGGUGAAUAUAAUGUUAUUGUCUCAACUUCAAUAGGAGAAGAAGGUCUAGAUAUCAUUGAAGUGGAUCUUGUAAUCUGCUUUGACGCCAACAUCUCAUCUUUGAGAAUGACCCAGCGAAUGGGAAGGACAGGAAGGAAGAACAGUGGCCGAGUUGAUAUCCUUGAGAAUUUUUUUAAUCAUGUAACUCAAAAUUAAGAAAAUAAAAAAAAACCAUGAAAAGUUUUACCACACACCAAAAAAGAAUUAUGAUCCAAUCUAAUUCUCAAUUUUAUUACCUGAUUUUCUUUAAUUUACAUUACUAGUUUUAGCUUGUGAAGGUCACGAGUUAAAUGGACACUUACGAAAGCAAGCUACCGGAAGGGCUAUAAAAAAGAAAAUGUUUAAUGGUGGAGUCAACAGCUUUGAUUUUCAUCUAAGCCCCCGAAUGGUAAUAUAGUUUUACAAAUUUCAUGCUGCCUAAAUGUUAUUGAAAUCUUAUUGUUCACAUUAUUUUUCUUGUCCUUGAAGGUCCCCCAUUGUUGCAAACCAAAAUUACAUAUUGUAGAGUUUUUGGUUGGCGAGUUUAUACAUUUUGGAAGAAAAACCAAAGCUACUCCCAUGGGCAGAUCCCUGCUCUCAGGCAUAUUAUCAACUGAGGAAAAUGACACAAUCUCUAAGUAUUUUCAUCAUCCCAAUGAGGACGAUUGGAAGCCAUCUCUUAUUGCUUUUCCUCAUUUUCAGACUUUUCCUUCCAGAAUACACAGAGUGGGCCAUUCAAUGAAAACAGUACACAUGUUUAUCAAUGCUAUGGAAUACCUUCAAAUGUCUCCAUCUUCUAAACCCAAUGUAGUUCUUCCGGUUGAGGUCAGACCAUCAGAUAUAUAUAUAUUUUAAAAUAGAUAAUCUUUGUUUUCUUUUAUACACAAUCACAAAUAUAUCAGAAUACUCUUGUUAACUGGUUGCGGGGCUAAUUCAAUAUAAUGCAGACCAUAAUUGUUUAAGACUCAGGCAACACCUUUUAAGACUACCUGAUGUUUUGUUUAUUGAGAUUAUAAAAGGCAUCAGUCUCUCCUUUAGGUCUGAGAUUUAUACGAAGAGUUUUGUACACAAUUAGAGGAAAGUACUAUGCAAGUUUAGAAGACCAAUCUCUUGAGACGACACACUUAAUUGCUUGAGCACUAAGUACUAUAGCCAUAUAGGAGAGACUCGAUGGGCCUAAAUCUGUCCCCCUCAUAUUUUUUUUCUUUCCUUUUUAUUAUAAUUUAGGGUACCGCCCUCUCAUUUUCAUCAAUGGAAAAUUUAUUUCUUGUAAAAAAAGAAUACUCUUGUUGAAAUUUGAAUAAUAACUUUUGUUUGAUUCAGGCGGCAAAAAAGUUAAUCUCCGAAGACAGUGAUAUUCGUCUAAAAGGUAUCAUUAAAAAUUUACAAGUUAAUUUUUUUUGUUUUGGUAAAUAAUUACAAAAUAAGGAAAGCAUUUUCAAGUUAAAUUUCUCUUAUAUCUAGGAUUAAAUUGCAUCAAAUGUCUAAUUCACAUUUCAUCAUAAAAUCCAUGCAAAUAAUAUAGAAGAAAAACGUGCCAUUAGUCUUUGACAGAAUAAAAAUCUUGGUCGAUAUUCCAUCUGUUUGAGUUACAAUUAGUAUACGAUCAAUUUAAUUGUGAGUUCUAUAAGAUUGUUCUUCACUUCUUCCCAAGGUCGUCAUAAAACUCUAAAACCAAGCAGUAUUGAAAACAUCAAACAUCCCCACCACAACCCUAACACAACAUGAUAUUAGACUCUGUGACAUCAUUGAAGCUUACCAGAAACUCACCCACCAUUCUCCUCCAUGGGGCUUUCAUUGGAAUGCUUUGGGGAACCUUGCUUGACACGUCUGGUCCGAGAAGAACAGAAGGCUAAAGAAGCAUACCCUCAGAUCUCCAGAAGAGCUAUACCAGAAGUUUAUUUGAGACAUAUAAGUAAAAUGAAUAGGAUACGAAUUUAUAAAUGGGGGAGAACAAAUGUUCGAUCCCUUCUAAAAUGUAUUCAAUUAGCUUAUAUACAUUUGGAGGGAUUAUAUCUAACAUUUGGAGGGAAAUAUUGAGGGAUGUGAGUAUCGGGAAUCCCAAUUUUCAAAAGUCUGUUCUCCUUCCAGGCAUCUCCCCGAGCUUCUCCAACCUUCUUCAGCCUCCUCCAGCUUUCUCCAGCCUUCUUGCAAGCAUCGACCAGAGACCAGAUCUGGCCGACCAGCUUCUCCAGCCUUCUCAAGUCCUCUACUCUUUUUUACUCCCUAAUCUAAACCCUAAAUACUAGGGUAAAUCUGGAUCCGCCUAACUGGAUCUGCUUUUUCUUCUCUUUAAACUACUAUUUUUUUUUUUUUUAAACUAAGUAAUAUUUUGAAAAUACAGGUAAUUAUUAUAAUAUUUAAAAAAAUACAGGGAAUAUUGCAAAUUUCCCACCCUAAAUUAUGCGACGCCUAGGCGCCCCAUGCGGUCAUGCGACCAAGGCCAUCACAUGACCGCAUGGUCGCAUGAAAAACUUUGGAGUAAUCUGUCUUGGAUUAAAACAAAUACUAUCAGCUAUAUUCAUAUCAUCAUAUGGGAGUCCAACCUCUUGAGGUACCGGUCCAUGGCUACAUAAUGCCAGGGUUAUAGCCAUAGAAGUGAGUGACAAUGUUUUAUAUGUUUUGUUACUUUUUAGCCUUACUAUUUGUAUUUCAUUUCCUUAUAUUUGUACUCUGGGUAAUGCCCAUCCAUUUUUAUCUUCAGCAAUGAAAUUUUAAACUUAUUAAAAAAAAAACCAUUUAACUAAUUAUAAUAAAUAGGACUUGCAAGUUAUACAAUGCAUCCGUUUUCUCCCUUUCCCAUCUAUUAUAGACAUGUUUACUAAUUACUACAAUAGACAAUACCAUUUUUUUAAUGAUUUAAUAUUUUUGAGAAGUUAAUUGUAUCAACAAUAGCCAAUUUGAGUUGACUGGUUUAUCUUAUUCUUGGCUAAUUAUUAUUCUCUAAUUUUUUUUUUUUUAAAUUAAGGUGUUUAUGAUUUUCCUGAACAAACAUCGUGUUUUGAACCAUUAUCUCUUAGUAACCCCGAUGCCGUAUUUGAGAAUUAUAAGCUAGAGUUUGCUUCACAGAAAGCUGGCCAUCAGUUUCUCUUCGAGACAAAUUUUGUGUCUGUUAAUACUCUUGGAGAGGUUGUAAUUGCUUCUUUUCCCACUCUUCCUUUCAUAGAUGUUUCAGAUAUCAGAAGUGACUUGUCUCAUGAUCACCGAACAAAACCCACUUACUUAUAUGAGGCAUCAAUGUUCCAUUACAAUAAGAAAACUUUGAUUCCAAGGGAUGCUUUAAUUUUAAGUAAGCUUUCUGAUUCAAGAUACACUGACUCUGAAGAUGUAUUUGCCUGUCAACCAUAUAUUUAUAAAGAGAAAAGCAAGGAAGAAACAUAUCCAAAAGAAGAGAUUUUGCAUCAAACACCACUUAGUACUCAGGAAAUGCUAGUCUCGAAAGACAAUUUACAAAUGAGUAAAGUUUCAAACUCAAUUUUACCAGCCUGUGAAUCUGCCAGUGCAAGAAAUCACUUUGAUUCUAGUCCAAAAUUUUCCAGUAAACAUGGUCAUUCUGAUUCCGAAACAAAUCAUUCUUUUUCCUCAAGCAUAAAUCAUGAUCAUGAAAAUUGUGAAUUACUUACGGAUCACCAUUCGAUAAAUUCACACAUCCGUUCAAAUUUGGGCAAUGAUACAUUCCAUGGACAACUAAACACUGAAGAAAAAUAUGAUUCAGAUUAUGCCCUUGAUGAUAAAACUAACGCACAAGUCAAUACUAAUAUUACAUUCAAUAAUCAAGUUAUUGAUGGAAGCCCUGGUGAUUGGCUAAUGAAAUUAGAAUCUCCGAAAACAGUACAAGUUGCACCGAAGUUUAAAAGGUUGCGUAAAUACAAUGAUACUGUACAAAAACUUCCGUUUACCGACUUUGAGAGAAAUGCAAGCGAAACAAAUAUAAAUUUACAUCACAUUGCAGAGGAUGGUUUCUGUCAGAAAAGGAGAGGUGAUACUUUUUUCUCUGUCUAAAUUAUUUCUUCUUAUCAAACUACUGAUCAAAUCUUCAUUAUACUCUCCACAUUUCGGUCUUUAGUUCUUUACCAUUGUAUUCAAUAAGUGGUAGCUUGACAUUAGUUAUUAACUUGUUAUGUUUGUAGGUUUGGACAAGAAAAUGACACUUGUCAAGUCAUUCAUUGAAGAAGAAGCUGAGUAAGAAAUCAGUUAAAUCUUCAUAUUAAUUGUCACUGUUUUCACUGCAAAUUAAUUGUCACUGGUUCCGGAUGCGCGCGCAUAUGCGACCUCCCAGGGAGGCGCAUCUCCCUUAGCCGGAUUCGACCCGGAUCCGGUCCUGAAUUUAAAAAAACAGGCCAAAAAAAAUUUAUUUUAAGGCAAAAAUAUUCUUUGUACCUUGAAUUCUAUCAAUGUGGGACUAAAUAAAGUGUACAUGUGUUAAAUAAAUUAUUGUUAUAGAAUAUUCUAUGUACUUUUUGAAUUCUAUCAAUGUGAGACUAAAUAAAGUGUACAUGUGUUAAAUAAAUUAUAGUGUUAUAUGUACUUUUUAUAUCCUAUCAAUAUAGGAAUUUUAUAUAAAUAGAUAUAUAACAGGGAAUCUAUGAGGAAGAAGAAAUUUACGAAAAUACCCUAACCCUAACCACUGGUUAACCGGUGGUUAAUUGGCCUAAUCGAAAAACCGGUCAGUCAGAACCGGUUAACCGGUUUUUAAACCUUACACGACACCAAUAUGACCCAUGACUAAUUUUUUUAAUACGGAAAUGACACUCAUAUCUAAGGCUGUCAACGGGUCCGGGUCUGGGACCAAUUUCAGACCCGUCGAAGGGUUUAGACCCGGAUGGUCGGGUCCGGGUCCGGACUCGGUCAGUUAGUGGUCCGGGUCCAGAUUAGCCAGACCCGGCUGGAUCCGUUCCCGGCUAUUUUUAAUGUUAGAAAAAAUAUAUAUUAACAUUUUAGUAAGUUAGGGGUUUAAAUAUAAAUAUUUUAAUAUAUAUUGUAUAAUAUAUUAGUAACUUAAGGGUUUAAUAUAAAUACACCAAUAUUUGUUUAUUAUGUUUAUUUAUUUUACUAAAAUUUAUUAACUAUUUUUAUAUUCUUAAUUAUUUAUUGUUUCUUAGGUAAAAAAAAAUUUAUUUUUUAGACCCGGACUAGACCCGGAUUUUUUAUGGGUCUGGUCCGGGUCUAGACAAUUUAGCACUGGACCUGGACCCGGCCCAGACCCGAGCCAAGUUCAUGGGUCCGGGUCCAGCUCAGUCGUCCCAGACCCGGCCCAUUUACAGCCUUACUCAUAUCUUAGUAAAGAAAUUCAAAUAAGCAGAAAAAUAUAUUAAUAAAAAUAUUCAAAUUUAGUGUCUUAUAAUCGUGUCGUGUCGUAUACUCGUAUCAAGUUACAUUGUGUAUUUGUGUAGUGUUUCCAGAGGCAAACAUUCCAAGGAAUGGUGGAAAAUUUCCACUUGACGAUCACUCUAAUUUCUUAGUAACUCUUUCGAUCUCUUGGAAGUCGAAGUGUCGUCAAAUGAAUAACCUAGUCUUCUUUUGGGGGCUUCCUCUCUUGGAUUUGGUCGAUAAUGGGCCUGGAUCCAGUUGAUUGACCCAAUCACCUGUCUUCAACAGGUCUUACAUGAGCAUGUGGAAAAAGAGAGGAAUUUGUCUUGCAAAUUACCCAAAUAAUGAUCUAAGGGAACUAUUCAUGUCCCAUAUGGCUUGCUCCCCAAAAUUCCUAUCGGCUAACCCUAAAUAAGUGACUUAAUUUACCUAAUGUGUUCAAUGGGUUUGGCUUCAAUGAGAGCCGACUCAACAGUUUUUAUACAGAUACUUUUCUUAAAACAUUGUGAGGUAAGAGUAGGAUUGGACAUACAGAUUGUGUGUGUAAAAUCUCAUGUAUACUUUGAUUUUAAAAAUUAAUGAUAAAUUUUCUACUUUUUACAAAAACUUCAUAGUUCAUAGUGCUAUGUUGAAAAUUGAGAUACAAUGAAGCAUUCAUAUUAGUGAUAUGAUAAUUUGUUGGUAUUUUAUGUAAUUAUUUAAUAGUUGUAGACUUGUAGUUAACUAAUGUUUCUAGAAACUUCUAUGAUUAAGGUCUAACAAAUCAGUUAGCAUGAUUCUGUUAGACCUCAAUCCCCCGAAACUCCGAAAGUGUAUAUAAUCUAAUUAAUGACAUUUUAGGAGGGAGUAAUCACUUGAUCUCUCCCAUUUCCCAAGAUUGCAUUCUGUUCAUAACAUCCAUAAUUCACAAUUAAUAUGUUAACAUCCCUUCUUUAUUUCAUGAUAGUUCUACAUGUUAUAUUUUUAUUUAUUCAUCAUCCUUUUGUAUUUUAUUCAGCGUAUCAGCAGAUGUAGAUGUUUCGGAAGAUGAGGAUGAUGACAAGGAUGAAAAGGGUGAAUUCAAUAAUAGUUUCAUAGAUGAUAGAAGUAACCCUAGUGAAGCAAGUGCACAUGAAGAAAAUAGUAUUGAUAUGAUGGCAUUUUACAGGUCAAAGAUGAUUCUCUCUUAUUUAUAGAAUAAAUUCAUUCAAUAUUCCAUUACGUCUGAUAACAUUUAAAAUCUGAUUCAUAAGUCCUCAUUAUUAAAAACAUUCAUUUAUAUGAAACCAGUAAAAUUUAAACAAUUAAAAAAAAUAAAAAAAAUUAACAGGUAAUUGAAAGGAAAAUUCUAAGACGUGAGAAUUAUCUAAUUUCAGUUUUUUCACUUUAGUUUUAGACGAUAAAAAAUAUUUUAAAAGAAUUUUCACCAUCUCAAAUUACCAAUGACGAAGUUAUCAAAGAUUCAAAAUUGGUUUUCUGCCCUACGAUGAGUUUCCUACUCAUGUUGGCCCCUACUCUGAACAGCAAAGGAUUCAGAGAGCCCACUUGCUUGGAAGAAGGUGGGUGUGGGUUCUGCUUUGAUCAAGAAAAAUUACGAAGCUCAUGCCAACAGAAUAGAGGCUAAAGGUCCUUAUUGGUUUGAUGGCAGUUUGCUUGUUGUGAAGAAAUGAAGCUCUAAGACUGCUGUGUUAUUAUAGUUGUAACCAGUGGAACAUAGUUCCACUACCUGGACAGGGUCUAAAAUAUGUGAUGUAGGACAGGGAUCCUUUAAUUGUGCUCCCACAUAAUGCAGGAGCACAAUUGGGGACAAUUACCACAUAUGUGAUGAGCACAAUUACCAUUAAUUAAGUAGGCAGACUCAUCUCAAGGGUUGAAUACAAUAAUAAAUUAAAGGAGGGCAUAAGUUAUCUAAUAAAGUUCUACAGGACAAUCUCAAGGCUAAUGGGAUGGGUAUAAAUAACUGAUGUAGGGAGAAUCUCUGAAAACGUGAAGAGAAGAAAUGGAAGAAGGAAGCUUCUUCAAGGUAGGGGGUGAAUACUUGGAAUCCACCAAGGUUUAGAUCUAGAUCUAGGAAAAGAGAAUAAGAACAGUGAAGAAUAAAAGAAGAACAGUGAGUAUUCGUGAGAGAGAAGAUCAAAGGAUUAAUACCUGAUUUGCACAAUAUUCAAGAAUGAUCCUCAACCUUGUUGGGCCCAUUAUAUUUAUACUCACAUCAAUGAUAAUGGGCAGCCCAAUUGAUGUGAGUUAAUAAUUUCUUAAAAGGAAUGUGAAUUGACUUGACCUUGGUCAAGCCAAUUAUAGCCCAUUUGGGGACUCCCGGAUCCACUUGUAAGAGAUUUCUAAUACUUUGUAAAUGCAAUAAGAAUGGAGUCUUCUACUGCAUCAGUAAGAUUAAAGGAGGCCCGAUUAGACAUUAUUCUCUACUUUUUUGAAGAUACUCUCUUUCUCUUCUCCCACUUUACUGUUCUAUUGCUUUUCUUCUCAUUUCCUUCUCAGAUCCAGUGGAUUCUAGAUCAAUCAUCCACUGGUGGAAUCUAAUAACCUAUCUUAUUUUUUAGUCGAUUUUAAUCAGUAGUUGAUCUUCAUCAGAUCAACUACAUCAAUAUGGUGGGCAUGUGGUGUCAAACUACAUGAGCAGUUCUUUCACACUAUCAACUUAGGAAAAUACAUCGUGGAGUUUGGUUAUAGUUGGGUUGGAUUCCUAAAAUAACAAAUUCUAGAUUAUUUAAGGAUAUUUAAUGAACAAGGCUAUUUAAUAUAUUAUAGCUCUAACAAUGUGGGAUACCAGUUUGUCCUUCAAGCAUGAAAUCCACAGGAAAAGAAGUAAUUUUCAAGUCGAAGAUAAUGUGCUAAAUUGUGUGGGAUACCUGCUUUCUGAAUACUGAGGCAACUUUCUUACUUAUUUAUAACUAGGAAUAUAUACUGUAUAGAUUAGGGAAGUUUAUUUUUAACUCUGGAUUUCUUAUUCUAUUUAAAGGAAUUUUCUUUUGUAACAAAAGAAUAAUGUGGAGAGUUGUGGGUGAGAUUGAAAGGUAUCCAUGAUUUGCAGACACUAGUGCAAACAUGUUAGGAGUUAUGACUUAGGAGUGUUUUCUUCCAAAUGGGGAUCCUUUUCACCAGAUAUUUGGGAAGUGCUCUGAAUUUCUUAGUUGCGUAAGAAUCUAUUAUUCUGGUUUCAGACAUGUAAGAUGUUAUAGAUUUCUUCGGGAUAUAGAGUAAAGUUAUUAGCUGGUGUUAAUUUGCUAGACCUUAUGAGGACUGCUAUCUUGGUCUUGCAAGCAUGGAGAAUAAUGUCAUCUGAGAGCUUCUUAUGGACUUCAUGGAUGAAAAAAUAUAUAAAAGAUAGGUUAUUUAUAGAAAUAUAAGCAAGGCAGCUUGAUUUUCUUAUGUAAGCAGAAAUGGUCGUUGGCAGAGAGACAAUUUUAAAAUGCGUUAACCUAAAAUCAUCAUAAUGGCUGAGAGUGGAAGAAAGGCAUACCUUGUCUAAUUUAGACAAUAAGAGAAUCAAUGUUUUCAAAUUUCAAUACAAACUAUGCAGCUACAUACUGGUAAUCGGCAUGCAGCUGCAUGCAUUCAAGUAUUUGCCCUUUUUAGUUUUUUUUUUAAAUCAGUAAAAAUCAUAUUAAAUUAGUAUAAAUCAGUAAAAAUACUUUUAAAUUAAGGAAACAUAUAAAUUGCAUGAAUGACAUGAAUACGCAUUGAGCAAGUACAUAAAAUGUUAAAAGUAUAUAUUUAAUACAGUCGUUGAAUUUUUUCCAACAAUUAUAUUUAAUAACUAAUAUAGGCUAUAUAGCUUGUUAGACUUAUGGGCUUUUAAGCUUGUGGCCUCUUAAAAUAUAAAAAAUUAAUUUGGGCCUGAAUUUUUUUGUGACAGAAAUAUGUGCCCCCCAUUAUGCCGACAUUUUGGCCACAUAGUUUGCCGACAUUAGUUGAGGCCGCAUUAUGCGACCUCAACUUCAAAUCGCACUAGCUGCUGCACUAUGCGAUAUGCAGCCGUUUCAAAACAAUGAAGGAAAAUCUGUUGGAGAAAUAUCAGACUUAUGUGACAUAAGAGAUAUAAGGAGAUGAAGACUGCAAUUCAGUCAAGUCCAAUUGAUGCUAAAUUUGAUGUAACUUAAUUGAAAGAACUUAAUUGAAGACAAUUGAAGGAACUUAAUUGAAAGAAAAUCAACUGGAUUCCCACCAGUGAGUGGUAGAUCUGGAAUCUACUAGAUCUGAAGAAGAGUAACAAAAGAUAAAUAAAGAAGAACAGAGAAUCAAGAAAGAGAAUUCCUUGAUCAAAGAUGUAAAAAGGAUUUACCACUCGUCCCCCCUUUAUCUCAUCUCAAUAGGGUGGGGGACUACCUUUGAGAUGAGCCUACAAUCCUAGUUAAGAGUAAUUGUGCUCUCAUCCAUUAACCCUUAGCCAUUUAUGCUAUAUCAGAUUUUAUCUGUAUUUGGGUCUAGUGAAGGUAUGAUUUUAUCUUUGUUUUUAUUCUUAAUGAUUUUCUUCUUCUAAUCAUGAUAGAAUGAUGAAUUAUUUUUGUUAAUAUUUUUUAAUUGAAUCAUUUUCUUUGGAUGAUUGGAAAUUGGAAUGAUAUUCAAGGAUGAAAUAUUUUUCAGGCGUUCUUUGCUUACACAAUCACCAUUGGAAACUCCAUCUUAUCCAAUUUCAUCCAGUCAUGAAGAAAUUACAUCUACAAGGAGUGAGAAAACUGAUCCAUGUUUGCCAGACGAAAUUAAUAAUUCUAUACUAAUUUCAAGAGAUGAAAUGAACCAUAGUGCUAAACCUACUUCUGGAUAUUCUACAGAACGGAUUACUUCAUUUGAAUUAGUAGGUGAAGCUAUUGAAGCUCAAGAUGACUGGAGUGUAAUAGGGAGUAAGAAAAGGAAAUUAUUUCAUCAGUGUCCUGAAACAGGGCUUGUGGCUAAAAUGCAACCCAGGGAUUUAUUUCAAUCAAACAAUUCAACCACCAGUAGUGUGCCAACUCAUACAUCAACCGAUUUAUCUUGUGAUGAUGAUUUCUUUGAAAAUAUUGAUCUAGAUGCUUUGGAGGCUCAAGCUAUUGAACUUUUGAAAAAUAAACCAAAAGCCAAUGAAUUGCCUGCUUGUAAUCCCGUUAGUUUUCCAUCAUUUGAUCUGGGAUUAUGAUCAUUUAUCAUUGAGCAUUUUGUUCCGUCACUUCUAGUAAUAUUCUACGCUGUUUGGUACUUUGGUUUAAGAUAAACUUAUCACAUUCAGGCAGUCAGUGUUUAAAGCGAUGCUCAAUAGAGUAGAGCCUAGUGUCUACUUAGAUUAUUGUACAUAUGUGCUCAAUCAGCUAUUGUGGAGAGCACUUACUGGUUUUGGAAUAUAUAUAUAUUGUAUUUUAUGUUGUCUUAGUUGCCUAGAUUUAGAGAAAGGUGGACAGCCACUUAUAUAUACAAUUGUACAUUCUUAAUUUAAAAAAUCCAUUAAUUGUUGGCUUGAAAAAUUCAAAUGGUUUAAUAUAUUUUACAUUUUUUGAUAAAUCAGUAAUAUUUCCUUAUCUAAGAAUUAUUCUUGUAUUCAUUCCAAUUUCCAAGUUUACUAUUAUUCAAGGGAUUUUUUGUUUUAAGUGUCUUUGUGAAAAAAAUUAUUUUAUUUGCAUAGUAUGCCUUUAAAGAUUAAAUUGAUUGUGAUUUUUUACUGGUUUAAUCAAAUCAAGCAACCUUCCACUUCUUAACAUCGUGACAUUGGGUAAUUUAAAGAGUUCAUGUAUAUGGGCUUGUAUAUCUGACAGAUUUAGCUCGAAUAUCUUGGUAUUCGGAUAAUCUCUGAAUAAUAUUUGGAUAAAAAAAUUCAAAUCUAAAUUCGGAUAAGUUUUUAUAAAAACCUCUAAGAAACCCUAAAAUAAAAUUAUAAAAGUAUAAAAUCACUUUUGAUAAAGUUAAUUUAUAGUCAAUUAAUCACCUUAAAAUCCUAAAUAAUAAUAUAUGUUAGUUAAGUUUAUAAAUAACAAUUAUUAAUUACUAAUAAUAAUAUUAUUAUAUAUUUAGGAUGCAUUUUCUUUAAAUUAAUUAAAUUUUAUUAAAAAAAUAUGGGUAUUGCCCAAGUUACAUAAAGUAGCGUAAUAAAAACAGAAAUAAAAAAAGAGAGCAAAGAAAGCUCACUGUCUCUCUCUCAUUAGUUAUGUUGUCUAAUUAUAAAGUAAUUAGAUACGUUGCCUCAAGAGAUUGAUCUCUCAUACUUUUAUCACAGAUGUCUCUAAAGGGCGACAACAGUUUUUCUUGUAACACUCCGAAUCAAAGGAGAGACUAAUGUCUUUAAUGAUCUCAUUAAAGACUAUCUCAGGAUACCUACUAACAUGUUGUCUGUAUCUUUUAUUUCUUUUCGUUCAUAUAUGUCACGACAAACAUCCAAUAGUAUUUCAUAGCCCCAAGGGAGAGAGUGAUGCGUAAUUUUUUACGAAGCCUACGUCAGAUUCCCCAAUCUAAUAUUUGGACUAGAUUGGGUGAACUAGAAUAUUUAUUAUUUUUCAGAAGACGAGAUUCAGGUACUCGACCAACGGAAUUAAAAGAGAUUUGAAAUAAAAACAUUUGAAGAAAAGAUAACUUCUAGUUUCAUCUUUCAGAUUGCAUAACAAGCAAGCAUGAAAUACUUGUACUUUCCAAUUUUUUAAUUUCUUGAACGUGUUUAGGUGAUCCCAUUUCACCUUCCAUAAGAGAAUACAAAAUUUGAGGUUGUUUGAGGUUGUUUUAAUAUUGGUUGUAGUAGUGAUAAUAGGUAGGUCUUUAACCCCUAGACCUCCUUCCGCCUUGGGAAGGACCAUUUGGGCCUAUGGGAUCCCUUUCUUUCCAUUCCAUAUAAAUUUAUAUGCUAACCUUCUCACAUUCUUAGCUACAGAAUCAGGGAUAGUCAUACCUUGUGCCCAAUAGGUUGUAUAUUUUUCAACUAUUAUCCAGUUAACUAGUUGUAUUCUCCCUCCAUAGGAAAGACAUUUUCCACUCCAUCUUGCUAAAAGCGCCUCGAUUGACUGGAUUAGUUUUCAACAUUUCCAAAUGACUUCUUUUCCGUGAUUGGUAGUCUCAGAUAUGAUAUGGGUAAACUUUCAUGCAAAGAUUGGUCUUCUGUACAUACUUUCGAGAAGGUGGAAGAGCUCUUGUUCGCAUUUACUUCUAAUCUCGAAAAUUCUCAAACAGUGCCUUAAUUGCAUUAAUCGAUUUAGGGCGCACUUGGUACGUGGAUGCCCUAUAUGCACCGUUGCUCUAGACAUCAUUGGAUUUGCUUGAGUUUGUUACCACCAUCCGUAAUUAUGCACUGACAUAUGAACUGUAGAAGAUAAUAUUCUUUGGUGUAUGUUAUUGUACGACAUGAUGUAUCUAGUGGGUAGAAGAAUGUAUCAGUACCCAAUUAAUUGUUGUUGUCCCAAUUUUGUUCAACCUUUGUUUUGUGUCAGAAACACAAUGUUUCAAAAAUAUUUUAAAAUUUUCCGCACAAACCAUACGACACAACUAUUCACGAACCUGAUUUUUUCUUCCCUUUCCACGCGUCCAUUCCAAAACCCAUCUAGGUAUUUAUCAAUUCUAUAUCUAGGUCUCGCCUUCCAUUUUUUGUGCAUCUUUCCGACAUUCGCGAACCCAAUUCUGUAGUUUGUAUCUUCCUAAGGCAGGCUUGAUCGUUUGAUCUUGAAGUUGUUCUACCAAAGUGUAAGUGAAAAAAUGUACAUCGUUUCUAAUUUUUUUUAUUUUUUUUCGAAUAUAGACUUUGAAUCGUUCAGUACGUCGUCAUUUUUAUUUCAGAUGUAGAGUUCUAUUGAAGUUGUAGUAUUUAGUAUUUUUUUCUGUCACUUUUUUCUAGUAUGUUCUUAGUAUUAUGUAUUUUUAUAUAAAAGAAUUCUUGGUUUUUAUUGUAAUGUCUAAAAGUCUGUUUUGUUGUGGUUUAAAAGUCUAAUAAUUUGACGAAGUUCGCUGUUAUGGAUUUUAUUGGACAAUAUUGGUUGUAUUGACUGAUGAAUAUGUAAAGUAUGUGUUGAUAUUGAAAUCUUUGUUUCAAUGAAGUAGUGAAUACUUAAUAUGUAUGAUAUUUGUAGUUACUGAUUAUUUAUUUCUAUUAUUAAAAGUAAUUUAAUUUUAGAGAUUGAAAACUUACAUGUGUAGAUUUAUAUUUUAUUGAAAUCAUAAAGCAAUUUUUAGUGUUAUUUGUUUGUAUUGCUUUUUCUAAUAUGUUAUGUAUUUGUUUAAUUUUUUUGUAAUCCAUCAUUAAAUACAUGUUGUACUGUGAUUGUUUGUUUCUUAUGAAUAUGAAAUUUUAAGAACAAGUAAUUGACUAUACCAACUUUAAUUGAUUAGGACUAUGAAUACUAUCGAAAUGAUUACUUAAUAUGUCUACUAUUAGGAUUAUAUGAUUAGUUUUAAUCAUUACUAUGUAUUCUGUCGAAAUCGUAGUAUCACUAUUGCUGACACGGGACUGUACACCAGUCCCUCCCGUCAACAGAGACUUGGUUUCUGUUCGCUUUAUGUCGGACCCCUAAAAGACGGCUCCCGUGAAAGCGAAAUUAAAGUCUUCGGCGAGACCCGAGUCAACUCUCCAAAUUGUCGAUUGGGGUGGGAAAUCGUCAAGUUGAGGAGAAGAUCGCCAAAGCCAUGGCUCCAAUUACGGAAAGCAAGAGAGUCGUUGCUUCUGCCGCCGCCCCUGAGGCGGCAACUGGCAGCAACAAGAUGGAUUACAACACGGUUCGUGGAAGACCUUCGUCGGAAGUUGGCUGGCAAUCUAGCCGCCAGCAGUCCGAUCGAAUUCCUGAGAAUCAAAAGCGCUCCUUUUCGAGAGGACCUUUUGAAGGUGUCUUUUCCACCAACCUGGCGGGUACCCAGGGUAGAAGCGUAUGAUGGUUUGGGUGAUCCAAGAGAUCAUAUCAACCUCUACCUUAGUGUCUUGGAACCGCAAACCACCGAUAACGCGCUGUUGUAUCGGGCAUUCCCCGACACUCUCAAGGGCAGCGCCUAUCAGUGUUUUUCCGGUCUGCCAGCUGGAUCAAUCUCCAACUUUGCGGACCUCUCAUCCAAAUUCAUCGCCCAACAUGUGGGGAUGAUUAGGAUCAAACAUAGUGCCAACGCAUUGCUGGCACUACGACAGAACAAGCUGUCGUUAAGGGAUUACACUAUUAAGUUCACUUCAAUGAUGACAGAAGUGAGCGACUUAAUCCCGAGUCUGGCCAUAGCGGGAUACAUGAAUGGGCUAGUACCCUACUACCCUUUGGCCCAACAUCUCACUCUCCAUAAAGUGGAGACUCUACCUGACCUCUUCUAGCGAGUCCAAUCGUUUAUUGAGGUGGAAGAGCAGAAUGAGAAUAAGCUAGUGGAACUUGAGAACACUAGCUUCAAAAAACCAAAGUUCGAGAAAAAGAGUUACGGCGGAAAAAAAGAGUUUCCGAGGCUCUUCGAACAAAUACACUGACAAUGCGGCUAAUUCCUACAAAAAGGAAUGGAAGCCCAAACACGAUAAUAAAGUGUAUCAAACAACCACUAAACAGUCGCCAAAGAGUCAAUCCCAACCAUGGAAGGAUUGGACCCCUCUGACAAUCAAUAAAGGCGAACUGUUUGACAAACUGAAGAACCGGGCAGAUCUACCUCCCGCCUGUUCUUUGGACCCUGCAACAAAAAGUAGUCAUAAAAAGGGUGGAAGGUUUUGUAAAUUUCACAAGGACCACGGUCACCUUACGGACCACUGCAGGGAGUUCUCGAUCUAUGUCGAAUAACUGGUCUCAAAGGGUGAACUUGGCAACUUCGUCAAGGGAUCCCGAGGACGAGACGGUUGCAAAUCUGACCCGAAGGGGAAGCGACCACGCUCUCCUUCGCCGGACAGCGACAGUAGCGAGGACCGCCAGGGGAAAACCAUCAAUAUGAUAUUUGGUGGCGGAUCCGUUGGUCAGAAUAGGGGAUACUCCCGGAAGGUGCUGAUGUCACAGUCAACACCUCGCGACAAUGGGAAACGGGCUCGGGAAGAGAAGUCAACAUAAUUCUCCGAAGAGGACCUGGACGAUGUCCUGCUGCCCUACGAGGAUCCACUCGUGAUCCAAGCAGACAUCGGUCCGACUUCCCGUAUCUAGAAGAUGAUUGUCGACAGCGGCAAUUCCGCGGACAUCCUUUACAUGGACACCUUCAUCAAAAUGGGCCUUAAAAAGGAGAAUCUGUCUCCUUGCAAGGAAGCCAUUUAUGGGUUUACUAACGUCGCCGCCCCAGUGGCCGGCGUUAUCGACCUGAAGGUCUCCAUCGGAUCCCGAAAAGGGAGGGUUAGUCGAAUAUGCCGUUUUAUAGUGGUAGAGGUAGAAUCCACUUUUCACGGCAUCUUUCGACUACCCUUCAUCCAUGGAAUCAAAGCUGUCCCAUCCUCUUAUCACCAAUGCAUAUGAUACCCAAUCAACGGGUUCAUUGCAACUGUUAAAGGAUCACAAAAGGAUUCUAGACAAGUGAUGAAGCACUGAAUCUGCUACCAGGGCUCGCGGUGGUGCGAGGUUGAUGCCGGAGGCUUUGGAGUCCACGACGCACGCUCUACGUCAAAUACCUGCAAGUGGAAACUAGGCGAUUCUAAUGAGACUCGCCGAGUUUCGUAGUGGUGCUCUGGUGUGAGAGUGGAACUUGAAUCGUGCCUUUGAGUGUCCCUUUGGGACCCUUUUUAUAGGGUCUCGGAGGGCGCACUCAACGGCGGAGAUCGCGCCUAUGGUCAUAUAUGGUAACAUUUAUGACGUUGGCUGCCGCCGAGUAACGGUCGUAAGUCGCCGAUUCAGGUAUGGAAGUCGCCUAGUUAGGGCUUAACUCGGCGAGUUUCUAGGGCCAAGAUGUGCAGUCUACCAUACUGUCGAUCUUGCCUUAACUCGGCGAGUUGUCCCGUAUGUCGGCGACUUGGUAGUCCAAUCGGGCUACUUACGGGCUAACUCGGCGAUCUGGACGAUGAACGUGUUCCGCACCGUGGGAGCUCUCCGGGGGUCCUGCCAUAGCGACGGAGCCCUAGUCCUUGUUGAAAGACGUUGCUGGGUAGUGACUGGUGUAAUCAGACAUGUCUCACCAGUACUCCCCCUGAAGAGAGCACAAGAAACAUGGUGUAUCACCAGUACCCCCCCCCCCCAUCAACCAAGGUUCAAUGUGUGUGAUCCAACAUCAAGGCCAAAGCGACAAGAUGAGAUCGAACCAUCCGCCCACAGUGACGUAAUGAUUCAGAAUCCAUAGGCCAAAGCGUCAAGAAUGGAUCGAGUUCCAGGCCACGGUAACUCAUGUUUAUAGUCCUUCCCUGAUCAGGGGCGACUGCACUGUGUUAUCGAGGCCGAAGCGACAAGAUAAAUUCCGGCCAAAGCGACAGAAUCGAUUAAGGCUUUUUAGCGACAGAAUCGGGUUCUUGCCAGAGCGAUAGAACCAAGUUCUAGCCGAAGCGAUAGAACUAAUGUUUAUAGUCCACUCUGAUCAAGAGCGACUUAAAAUCCGCAAUGACGGCCCCCUUCAAGGCUUUUUAGCGACAAGAUGGGUUGAGAUCGUUAAGGCCAAAGAGACAGAACGAUCUCUAGUGUAUCAAGGCAGAAUGCGACAAUAUACUUGGACUCAUUACACUACAAGAAAACUGGGAAACAGCUACGGCCAAGUUCAUUGGCUAAAUGGCAAAAUCCGUGGCUAAAUUGAUUUAGCCACGGGAAUUAGCCACGGGAGCUGCCGUGGCUGUAAGUCUGGUGGCUACUGUUUUUUGGCCACGGAAAUGGUUUUCCGUGGCUAAAUAUUAGCCACGGCCAUUUAUUUUAGCCACGGCCAAAAUCCGUGGCUAAUGUUAAAAAUUAGCCACGGCAUAAUUCAGUGGCUAAAUCGUGGUCCUUCACUUUCAACUCUGUUUCAAGGAUUUAGCCACGGCCAGUUAAGGAUUAGCCACGGUCAAAAUCCGUUGCUAAUCCUUAACUGGCCGUGGCUAAAUCCUUGAAACAGAGUUGAAAGUGAAGGGCCACGGCCAAAAUCCGUGGCUAAAUGCCAAAAGGCCGUGGCUAAUUUCUAAAAUAUUUAUAGGAAAUAUUUACAUUUUAGAAGACGCCUAUUGAAGGUCUUACACAUUCAUAUAACCUGAAAAAAUCAAUGAAACAUAUAUUUACAUUCAUAUUCCAUUCAUACACAUUCCAUUCAUACACAAAUAUCCCUCAAAAUUAUCCAAAACAUUCAUUACAUUAUAUCCCAUACCUAUAACCAAACAUACCAUUCCAAAACAUUCAAUAACCAAUAAAACAUAUCAUUCCAUUCCAAAACGUACCAUUCAAUUAAUAAGCAACAAAACAUACCAUUCAUACAAUUAAUGUUAUUCAAAACUAAACCAAAAGAUAAAAGAAGAGGAACCUGUUUGUUGGUGUUUGUCACGCUAUUCGUCGGACUUUUACUCGGACUUUUACUUGGACUUUUGCCAAUAUUUUCGACAUUUGAAUCUCUUAUAAUAGACGUGAUUAUGGUGUUGUGUCCUUGGCUCGACUGACCCUAAUGUAAAAAAAAAAUUGAAAUUACAAAGAAAAUAUGAAUAUUGAUUUAUAUAUAAAUGCUAAUUACCUCAAUCGUCUCUCGACGUAAGUCUUCCCUUAGUUCCUUUAGUAUAUCCGGCAUCUGUUUUCUAAUGGCCUCUUGAACUGCCCGAUCAAAGUCUUCUUUACUUUUUUGUUGUUGAAUUUCUAUAUAAUUCGUCGUUGUGUUCUGUGAAGUCGCCAUAUUAUCAGGAAUUGGUAAUGGCAUUGGAUCACUUGCUCUGGUUCCAAGCACACGACCUUUCUUUUUUCCGUCAGUAGCUUUGACCCAUAAUUCUAAAUUAUCAGGGAGUGUGUGUGAUCCAUUUGAUGAGUUGAUCUCAGAAUUUUCUGCUUCCAUAGCAUUUCUUUGAAGCUCAUUAUAGUCAGCCUAUAAAAAUGAAAAUCAAUAAUAAAUAAAAAAUAUGACUUAAAUAUCUUAAAACGAAGCAUUUCUAACGAAUUUUCUUACAAUGAAGCAUCCUCCCUUUGGAUGGGCCCAGUCGUUUGUCUUAGCCAAACUAUGUGUUUUUUUAUAAACCUCACAGUGACCGACUUCAUAACCAGCUUCUUCAUUCUGAUUGUUAUACUCAAAAAAAUUAGAAUGAUAAAUGUAAAAUAUAUGAAAGAAAUGUUUUUUACCAUUCUUUCAUGAGUGGCCGCAACUGAACAAGAUCCACCCGUGUAUGGCAUGUAAUCUGGAUUGUUUGUCCUAUUUUCUGAUGCUUUUUCGGAUCUUUUUUUCCAAUCUUCUUUUAACCAAAUUUUUAUCAUUUCACUCCAUACUUCCGCAGAAAGGUAUAUCGGUGGAAAUCUAGCGCAAGAUCUGGUUAGUGUGUCAACUUUUGCCAAUUUCUUUGCCUCUUAUCUCGCUUUAUACAACCAACAUGUAUAAUUUAGUUGUACAUAAUUAUCAAAACAUUCACGAGCCAAUUGAAUGUCCUCAAAUGAGAAAUAGCACUACAUAAAGACAAAAACAUUACAUAUGGAAAAAAAUGACAUAUGGAAAAAAUGACAAGUAAAUAAAUAAGUCAUACCAGAAAUUUGACGAAAAUAUUUUUCUUUUCCUCUUCUUUCCAAGAAGUCCAUUUAGUUAAAGGUGACGUUAUAUUACCUUUUACUUAUAUUCCUAUUUGACUUCUUACAUUGUUUGUAAAAGUCCUAUAAAAAACAAUCAAAUUAAAUAAUAUAAUAUAAUGAAUUAUAAUGAAAACACUCACCCGCUCUUAACAAUAGUGGCGGGAGUUGGUGCAUCCGGUUGCCUCAAUCCUUUUGUCCAUUUUUUUCGAUGUUCUUCAUCGAAGCGGUCCUCUACGAUUUCUUGAUCUAUUCUUGCAGGUUGUGAUCGUCUGUCGUUUGUUCGUUUACGACUUCGUCCGCGUGCCAUUUUCUAAUGGAAUAUUUUCUAAAGGAAUAAAUAAAAUGAAAUUAUUCUGCUUGAAAAAAAAAUGAAAGUAUAAAACAUAUAAGUCACUCAGGCGACUCAUAUAGAACAUUCAUCUUCAUCUUCAGAAUUGAAAUUUUCUGUUUCAUCUUCGACAUAACUCUCACUCUAGCUCUUCAUGUAAAGUGGGUUCAGGUUCGAAUGAAACAACAUCAAACGAGUCAUCCACAUUUAGAGAUACAUUAUCAAUGUUAUUUCUGUAUCACAAGUUGGUUUAACUGAAUACAGAGUAAACAGUUCACCUAAGUAUAUAUGAUCAACUCCUAAUUCCAAUUAAGCCAAAAUCUUGCCUGAUUCCUCUCGUGAUGGUAAUCGUGUAAGACAUUACACAUGCAAUGUUUUGACUAAUUUGAGUAGGUGGGAAUCGGGUCAGAUUGCAAGAACAAGAUUCCAAGAAGUCAGAUUAGGAUCAAUUAAUAGUAAUUAGUAUCGAUUUGAAAUGGGGAACAACACAAAGAACAGAAAUUGAAACUUCAAAUGGGUCUGUCGGAAAUGGGGAAUGGGUUUGACGGAAAUGGGGAAUCGGCCGGUCGGAAAUGAAGAAUGGGUCGGUUGGAAAUGGAGAAUGACUAUGUCGGAAACUCACCUCGUUUGUCGUCGGAAGUUUCCACUGGCUCGGCUAUUCUCGUCGGAAGUUUCCACUCACCUCGUUGCUCCCUCUGCUCUUCGGAUUUUAGUAUUGAGGUUGGGAUAAAUAUUUGGGGUUUUAGUUUUUAGGUUUUAAUUUUUUUAAUUUAAAAGUUCCAUUUAAAAUAUUCAUUUAAACUUAGUUUAUAACUUAUCAAUUAAAGUUAGUUUGUUUGAUAUCAAAAAUAACUUUAAUUAAAAAUAACUUAGUUAAUUUUUAAUUUUAAAAUUUAAAAUUUAAAAUAUCAAAAAUAUCUUUAAUUUAUUUUUUAAUUUAAAAUAAACUUAUUUUAUAACUUUUAAAAUAUCUAAUUUAUUAAAUUGAAUUUUAGAAUUUAAAAAUUAAAAUUUAUUAAAUUAGACUAACCCUAACCUACUAAAGUUAAUAUUAGAAAUUGAUAUUUUUAUAAUUUUUAUAAUUUAAAUAAACUACUAACCCUAACCCUAACCUACUUAAUUUUAUAAUUUAAAAUAACUUGAUAUUAAAUUGAUAUUGAUAUUUAUAAUUUAAAAAUAUUAGAAAUUGAUAUUUUUAUAUUAGAAAUUUAAAUUGAUAUUAAAUUAGACUAACCCUAACCCUAACCUACUUUUAUAAUUUAAAAUAACUUUUAUAAUACUUGAAUUUGUAACGUUAAAAAUUAAAAUACCUUCUUUAAAUUUAUUUUUUAACUUUAAAAUUUAAAAUAUCUAAAAUAACUUCAAUUUAUAAUUUUUAUAAUUAUCUAAUUAUAAUCUAACUUUAAAUUUUUUAUAAUUUAUAAUAUCUAAAAAACUAUAAUAUAACUUCUUCUAACCCUAACUUCUACUUCUAACUCUUACUUUUAACCCUAAUUUCUAACCCUAACACUAUCUAAAUAUGUAUAUAUACUUAUUUUUACUAAUUUUUGUUAAUUUCUAUUAAUCCUAAUCCUAACCCUCACCCUAACCCUAAUUAUUUACAUUUACAUUAACCCUAACCCUAUUAUCAUUAUUAGCCAAGGCUAAAUGCCGUGGCUAAUAGAUAGAAAUAUCAGUGACUAAUUUAUUUGUCACUAAAUUAGCCACGGCUCCUAAAUCCAUGGCCAAAUCCGUGGCAAAAUUUCAGUGGAAAAUUAGAGGGAAAUUUUGCCGGAAAUUUUAGCCACGGAUUAGCCACGGAUUUUAACAGCCGUGGCUAAAUAUUCAAUGAAAAAUUGGAGGGAAUUUUGCUGGGAAAAUUAGCCACGGGAUUAGCCACGGCUUUUUGCAUUCGUGGCUAAAUAUAAAGAUUAGCCACGGGCUUAGCCACGGCUAAAAAAGCCGUGGCUAAUUUCUAACAAUUAGCCACGGCUUCUGCUGGCCGUGGCUAAUCCCGUGGGCGUAGCCCAGUUUUCUUGUAGCGGUGUAACGUUUUGCCAACGUUGGAGGCGUAGGAAGAGAAGAAAUCUCCCGUAGGAGCCGGAGGUUGGAGAAAGACUCUCCCUAAGGAGCCGGUGGUUGCAAGAAAUGGAGUUGGAAUUCCCAAAUAUUCGAUGAUCGUAGAUAUCGAUCCUCUUCAUUAUUUAUAAGCUUGUUUGUUACUAAUAUCUUGCCUAGUGGCUUACAUUUGUUAUGGACUACUAACUACAAUUAGUUACAACUCAUACUCAUAAUCUUGGUGGCGCGUGCUCUGCCUGACUCGGCUGGGUCGGGUGCGAGCUCCUUCGUUGUUCGGUUGAGUCUGCUUUUCGUUAAUGGGUUCAUUAAUUCCCAACUCUUCCCUGAGCUUCUGUACUACUCUCUCUAAGUUUAACUCAACUGUAACACUCCCACCUCCAUCCCGAGCAAUCUUGUCCUCAAGAUUAGUGGUCGCCGAUAUCUCCUUUAUGAACUCGAUGUCCUCCCAAGAUUUAUUUUCGGAUGGCAGUCCCGCCCACUCUACAAGGACCUGCUUGAUCUCCCUGCCGUGCUGUUUAAUAAUGCGAUAUGCAACUACUUUGGACGGGCAUACUACCGGGUGCGCUUCUGUUGCUAGCGGGGGUAGUGGGCUGACGAUAUUUUCCGGCGGUGUCCCUUGGAACGGUUUUAAUAACGCUAUAUGAAACACUGGAAAUAUUAAGCUUCCCGUGGGUAGUUUCAAUCGAUAUGCUACUUUGCUUAUUUUCUUUUCAAUCUGAAAUGGUCCAUAGAAUCGUUUGGAUAGCUUUUGGCAUGAUUGCCGGUUGACGGAGCUCUGCCUGUAUGGUUGUAAUUUCAACCAUACCCAUUGACCUUCCUCAAACUCGAACAUUCGUCUCUUUAAAUCCGCGUAUUUCUUCAUUCUCUCUUGUGCCGCCUGCAGAUUGAUUUUUAGUUCCCGUAACAGGGCAUCGCGUUGGUUUAACAAUACGUCUACUGCCUCGACGUUUGAAUCUCCGGCCCGGUAAUUCAUAAUGUCCGGCGGUUCCCUCCCGUACACGGCCUGAAAUGGGGUCAUGCCUAUGCUAUGGUGGUAUGACGUAUUAUACCACAGCUCGGCCCAUGCUAGUAGCUCCACCCAAUUCCUUUGAUUGUCAUGAAUGGUCGCCCUUAGGUAGUGUUCGAUUGUUUUGUUCACCACCUCCGUCUGUCCGUCCGUCUCCGGAUGAUAGGCAGUUGACAUUUUCAAGGUAGUUCCACUCCUUGUAAAGAUUUCUUUCCAAAAUUUGCUAAGGAAGACUUUGUCACGGUCGGAGACGAUUGACCUCGGAAUGCCAUGGAGUUUUACUAUGUGUUUGAUGAAAUACUCCGCUACCGAUUUUGCCGAGUAGUCGGCGGUUAAAUUCCCCAGGUGGCAGUAUUUGGUCAGCCUGUCGACCACGACGAUGAUGACCGUAUGACCCCGUACCGCCGGCAGUCCCGUAACGAAAUCCAUGCUUACGUCUUCCCAAAUUGCCGUUGGAAUCGGUAGGGGUUGAAGUAGUCCCAUUGGUUUCACGGCCAUGGACUUAAUUUGCUGGCAAAUUAGGCAUCGUGCUACAAAUUCUCGUAUGAAUUUGUUCAUUCCUAUCCACGAAAAACUCUGCCGGACUCGUUGGAGAGUGCGAUAAAAUCCCGAAUGUCCUCCACUUUUGGAGCCGUGUAACUCCUCGAGUACCUUUGUUCUCAACUCUGAUGUGGGCCCCAAGCAUAAUUUGUUAUGAUGGUAUAAGAUACCACCCUUAAUUGAGUAGUUUAGAUCAGCAUUAUUUGGGCCCUCGAUUCCAUUCUCGAUUUCACUCUUUUUCUUUACUAUCCAAGGAUCCGAUUCGUUUUCUUCACGGACCCGACUGCCCCAAUCUGUCAUAACCGAGCUGGUUAAUAUUGUGAGUUGGCCGUGUUCCGUUUCUAGCUCUAUUGCCGGCGACCGUGAAAGAGCAUCGGCUACGACAUUGUCUUUCCCUUUUUUAUAAAUGAUUUUGAACGUGAAUCCCAAUAGCCGUGUAAGAAAAUAUUGCUGUUCCGGCGACUGAAUUGAUCGAGCUAAUAAAUUUUUUAAACUGCAGUGAUCAGUUCUAAUUGUGAAAUCGUUACCCAACAGAUAGUGUCUCCAUUUUUGUACUGCUUCCGUUAAUGCCCAAAGUUCCUUCGAGUAUGUUGACGCUCUUUGCCGUAGCCGGGAUAGCUUCUUGCUAAAAUAUGCUAUAGGAUGCUCGACUUGUAAUAGCACUGCACCAAUUCCUACGUCACAUGCAUCUGUCUCCACAACGAACGGAAUUUCAAAAUUUGGAAAUGCGAGUACCGGUGCCGUGGUUAGCGCUUGUUUUAAUUGAUUAAAUGCUUUUGUAGCCUCGUCGGUCCAUUUGAAUUUUUCUUUCCUUAGUAAGUUGGUGAGAGGUGCCGCUACUUGAGCAUAUUGCGCGACGAACUUCCGGUAAUAUCCGGUUAACCCAAGGAACGCUCGAGUCUGCCUUACGUUGGUGGGUUCCGGCCAUUCCAUAACUGCGCAUAUUUUGUUGGGGUCGGGCUUCACUCCUUCCGUGGAGAUAAUAUGACCAAGAUAGGCCAACUCUUCUAACCCAAAUUCACAUUUUGUUUCUCUGACGAAAAAAGAAUGUUGUCUCAAUAACUUGAACACCGUACUCAAAUGUUCUUUAUGAUCCUCCCUUGAUUUACUGUAAACAAGUAUAUCGUCGAAGAAGACGAUAACAAAUUUUCUCAACCAUGGUUGGAAUAACUGGUUCAUCGUUGCUUGGAAAGUGGCCGGAGCGUUUGAUAACCCAAAGGGCAUCACCGUAAAUUCGUAGUGACCCUGGUGUGUCCGGAAAGCCGAUUUUUCAAUGUCCUCGCCGGCGAUCCUGAUUUGAUGAUAACCUGCCCGGAGGUCCAAUUUUGAGAAUAUUACCGCCCCGUGGAGUUCAUCUAGUAACUCGUCCAUUGUUGGAAUUGGAAAUCUGUCUCGAAUUGUUAUUGCGUUUAAUGCUCGAUAGUCGACGCAAAAACGCCAGCUUCCAUCUUUUUUUUUUACCAAUAAUACCGGUGACGAGAAUGGACUUACGCUAUGUCUGAUCAAUCCCUGAUUUAGCAUUUCCAGUGUCAAUUUCUCAAUUUCGUUCUUUUGGUAAUGUGGGUACCGAUAUGGGUGUACAUUUACAGGUUCCGCCUCUGAUUUUAAUGAGAUGUGGUGGUUUGUUGUUCGAUCCGGUGGUAGUCCUUUGGGUUCAGACAGUACGUCUUUAAAUUCUUUUAGAAGUUCCUCCAGUUCUGGUACAUUUUUUUUUUCUGGAUUGAUAUUUUCACUUCUUAGGUGGCAGAAAUAAGCCACUUCCCUCCUAGCCACUAGCUUCUUAAGACCUGAUUUAGUAAGUUCAGAUUCAGAUAAAUGCGGAUCCCCUUGUAAUAAUAUUCGUUUGUUGCCGUUCAUAAACUCCAUUGUUAGCUCUUUGUGAUUUGUUGUAACCGCCCCUAGUUUUUCUAGCCAUUGAAUUCCCAAUACUACAUUUGCCCCCCCAUUGAUAGUACAAACAAAUCUUCGACUAUUCCCGUGUUUUGGACUGCCAUUGGAACUUGGCGGCAAACUUCCUUACAAACCAAAUACUCUCCACUCCCAAUGAAAACUCUGAAUUCCGGCAGUGAUUGUACCUCAUAUCCCAACCGAUUAACCACCGACUCUUGAAUAAAAUUGUGGGUGCUUCCACUGUCGAUUAAUACAGAAAGUGGUCGACCCUGUAUCCAGCCGGUGAGCCUGAUCGUUCGUGGAUUGAAGGUUCCCGCGAAGGCGUGUAGGCUGAUCUCGGUUGUUGUUAAUGACUCGCUUGCCCCUGACUCUGCACCCAUUUCUUCCUCCUGGUCAAAAACUUCUACCAAGCAGUCGCUGUCCACCGCCAUCCAAAACAGACGACCUUUACACCGAUGUCCCGGCGCAUAAGAUUCAUCACAAUUAAAGCACAGCCCUUUGGCUGAACGUUCUUUCCUUUCUUCUACAGUCAGCAUUUUCCUCACGAUCGGUAGUGCUUUGGUCCCGACUGGUGGGUUCUUUAGUAACGGUUCUGAAUUAAACCCCGUCGUUGAAUUUCCCCCAUAUUUCGCCGGAAUUCUGUGGGCUUCAUGCGCUUUUGCCAACGCGAAUGCUCGUCGAAGCGAUAUCGGUUUAGCCAAGUUUAAUUCGCUCUUCAAUUCCGGCUUUAGUCCGCUUAUGAAGAAACUAAUUAACGAAGCUUCAUUCUGCCCGCUCACUUCGUUCAGUAAUUCUUCAAACUUCUCCAAGUAAUUUGCUACUGAUGUUACCUGCCUGAGUUUGCACAAUUCUUGAAGUUUAUCUUCAUACACAUUGCCUCCGAACCUCUCCCUCAUAUCUUCUUUGAAACGGUCCCAGGUGGUUAAGAGAUUGUUGCGUCGAAGUCCCCUAAUCCACGAUAAUGCCGCUCGCGUCAUAUGGAAUCCUGCAAUCUGGAUGCGUGAAUCAUCAAAAAUGCCAUGGAACCCAAAAUAUUCUUCGGCUUGAUAAAUCCAGCCCUCCGGAUCCACUCCCGUGAAUUUUGGCAGGUCUAAUUUGAUUGCUCGUGUUGCUCUGUUUGCUACUGCCUCUGGAUCGGCUUGGUUCCGAUAUCCCCCCAAUGUAGCUUGUAUGUCUCUAAUCAUCCCGGCCAUUUCCGCAAUCUGCCCGGCUAAGUUUGCUAUUGAUGCAUCCUGUCGUCGUGUAACCUCCGUGAAUUUUGACGUUUGGUCCGUCAAUACGAUGCCAAUUUCCUGUCGAAUUUCGUCGAACCCAUUGUUCGAUUCCUCCGCUUCUGUCAUGUUUACCAUUGCAAUUAAUAUCAAGAAGAGAGAAAAAAAAUCAGUCACCAGUACGAUGUGCUUCCCUUUAGCGGAUCCAGUUAAGGCCUGGAACGAGCCUUGGAGAGUGACAGUUUAUAGUCGUUUUCCGACUGUGCUGCUCUACUCUUUGUGAAGCCGAUCGUCUAAUUCAUUGAAAGCACCAAUGUAACGUUUUGCCAACGUUGGAGGUGUAGGAAAAGAAGAAAUCUCCCGUAGGAGCCGGAGGUUGGAGAAAGACUCUCCCUAAGGAGCCGGUGGUUGCAAGAAAUGGAGUUGGAAUUCCCAAAUAUUCGAUGAUCGUAGAUGACGAUCCUCUUCAUUAUUUAUAAGCUUGUUUGUUACUAAUAUCUUGCCUUGUGGCUUACAUUUGUUAUGGACUACUAACCACAAUUAGUUACAACUCAUACUCAUAAUCUUGGUGGCGCGUGCUCUGCCUGACUCGGCUGGGUCGGGUGCGAGCUCCUUCGUUGUUCAGCUGAGUCUGCUUUUCGUUAAUGGGUUCCGUAUUAAUUCCCAACUCUUCCCGGAGCUUCUGUACUACUCUCUCUAAGUUUAACUCAACUGUAACAGGAAUCAAGUAACAAGGAUUUUAAUUAAGAGUUGAGAUGUUCUCUAAUAGACAGAAAACACCAGCCCUUGUCAAUUAGAUGAUCGAGGCUAUAUCAGGCGUCCCUUCUUCUUCAAGAUGAAGUGCAAGAUUUGUAUAUAAAUGGUUAUGAUGUCCAUCAAGCGUCCCUUCUUCUUUAACUUGAGCAUAUUAUUAUUGUAUGCAAAUUCUUGAGUUAAAGAGCAUUUGUGCUAUAUAGUUAAAGACCCAUUUGAGCAACAUGGAUGAACAAAUAUUAAAGAAACGAUUUAUGUGAGAUAUAGAUUUUGAGAUAUCAUCAAUUCUACCUUUAAUUUUAAAUCCAAUGAUUUACUUUUGAAAUUAUUAAAUAUAAACAGAGUAUUAUACAGAUUUUAUUAAUGUUUUAAAUGAGUGGUUGGAAAUACGACGUAGAUCACAAUGUUUUAAAUAGACUUGAAAUUCAAAUAUCUCAUUUAAACUAUUAAAAGUUGAAAAUGAUCGAUAAUUCCAGAAGCAGCACGUACAAUUAAUAUUAUAUGAAAAAAAGGUAUAUAUAUGAUAAUAUGAAAGCAACUAAAGAUCAGUAACUGGAUCAAUUAAUAAUUAACACAACCAAACUCCAUCUUCUUAAUUACAUAACUCAACUAUAAUAUAUAUAUAUAUAUAUAUAAAGAUAUUAUAAUAGUCUAAUGAGCAUGCAAUUAAUUGCUUAGCAAAGAAAAAGAUCUUCAGAAGCAACCAUUGAGAAAUUAUUGGCAGAAAAAGGAUUCCAGAAGUGAAUCAUGUCCAUGGAUUGUUGUUGUGUGAAAAGAUCGCUUGCAUACCCACUAGUAUUGUUAUUAUUAUCAGUAUUGUUAUUAUCAUUAUCAUUACAAGCAGUGGUGGUAUUGACGUAAUCAAGUAUCUCAUAAAGUGCAUGGUAUCUUGAGUUAAGUUCCAUGAUCUGAGUUCUAAGCAGAGAACUCUCAGAUUCCACCGCAUGAUACUGUUGUAUUGUCAUGUUGUGAGUGGCAUGGAUCUGUUCGUUUUCCUUUCUUAGUUGGCUCAACUGGUUCAUCAGAUCAUCCAAAUGUUUCUGCUUCCUUUGCCGAGAUCGUCUGGCGGAAUCACGAUUUGAAAGCAUUCUUUUUCUCUUCCGUUGAUCCACCACCACAGUUGAUUUUUCCAUUGAACAACACCCAGAACCAGAACCAGAACCAGAACCAGAACUGCUGUUACUGAAAUCACCACAACCCAUGCUAAUUUCUAACUAGCUAGCUAUGCAAGAAUUGAAAACAGAACGGAGAACACAUAAAACCAGUAUAGGAAAACAACCGACAAGGACUGAACUAAUUGAACUAAACUGAUCAUAGAAGACAACAAAAACUAAACACACCCGCUAGCUACUACUACUACCACCACAGAAUCAGCAUGCAUGGUCUGAAGAGAUUGAAGCCAAGGAAAGCAAGAAAGAAAGGGAAGAUGUAAUUGUGAAAAUGGGUUUUGGAUUUAUAGACGAAACAAAUUUGAAACUUGCAAAAGGGUUUAUUAAAACUAUUUUCUAUCAAGUGGGGAGGGUAGGUGUGUAAAAUUAACAUCGGUCAUCAAAUAUAAAGUUAACUUUAAAGUACUUGUGGACAAACAUAUGGGUCCCACAUUAUAACAUCAAAGAAACUGUGCAUCUUAAAGAAUAAAGAUUCCUUUUCUUCCAUAUUUUUUUCCUCCACAUUUAUAUGUGAUACACCUGAUCACUGUUCCAGUCUUGAAUUCUUAAAUGGGAAUCUCUCUGUCUUUCUGACGUUUGUGAUACAAUAAUUAAAUAUUAAAUCGAUUGCGGCUAAAUAACAUUAAAUGACAUCAGAAAUUCAGAAUUUACGAUAUUUAAAAUUGCUAAUUGCUAUAUUUUAAAAAAAAGUUUAAUGUUGAUGUCUAUAUGGAUCGAUAAUGGAUUAUGUAAAAUCAUUCAAUUUUAACUUUUCAAUUUUUAAAAUAAAAGAUCUAUUUUGAUUUCCACCUCCAUUUUGAUAUGAUUGGAUGAAAUUUAUAGAAAUCUAUUAUGAUUUUCACUAAUCCAAUUACCCCAACUUCACCUUUCUAAAACCCUUACGUAAACCCUUAUCCGGUAUUUUAUAAAAUUGUGUAUUUUUUCAUAGUAUUAUAGAAAUAGAAAGAUACUUAGUUGGUCUAGCUAGUUGGGUUUGUCUUAUUAACUAGUAUAAUUAAUAUUUAUCGUUGUAUGAAAAUCAGCUUAAUUGAUCGCAAUAACUAUUAAAAAAAUUUGAAAGUUCAGAUUCGAGUCUCUUCAUUUACAUAAUUUUUUUUAUAGAUAUACAAUUUGAGAAAGCAAAGAAUUGAAUAUGUGCAAAAUUGUGAUUCAUUUGAUAUAUGUUUUUAAUGAACAGUUGACAGUUGAACGAACAAACAAAAGGUAAUUAAUAAGUAAUGACGCCAUGUUCAUUAACAUGCGUAAAUUGAAGGAAAGUGACAUUCGGUCAAUUUAGAAAUUCAUCCCUACCCUAUAUCACUUUCCAUCAUACCUAGCUUUCUUAUUCCAUUCACAUUCUUUUUUCUUUCUUAAAAAUUUAAAAUGGAUUACCUUGUUGCCGCUUGCCGGCCAUUAUAAUUAAUUAAUUAACAACGCAAUUAAAUAUGGAAUUAUGGGGACAUCAGAGUAUUUUUUUAAGGGUUUAACUCACGUUUGGGAUUGGUGGUAUCCAUACAAUAAAAAAAAACUGUGAUGAGAUCGAGUGUCUUAGCUCAUUCUCACUCAAGUAUAAUAAGAUGGUAAUUGAAAAAUAUUUUUUUUGUUUCGUAAGCAAGAUAUUGAUUUGAAACCUAAUUUUUAUGGAAGUUUCGUGAUAAAUUAAAAUACGACGAUUCAGAAGUGCAAUGGUAUUGUGACUAGUCUCAUACUCAUACCAAUAUAAAAUAAUAUGUUGCGAGAUCUUACUAUUUCAAAAUUAGUAAAAACUUUAAUCACAAUCUUAAUUAAUGUUAAUUACAACCUCAUUUAUUAAUAGAGAUAUGUGAUAAAAUCAGUCACUUCUCUUUCGGUAGUGUAAUUGCACCGGGAAGCAACUGGCCGGAGAUGAAGGUCGUCGCUGGGUGAAGAGGAAGAAAAGGGGAAGAACUUAGGUUACCUUAGUAACAUCCUUUUGUCCAAUGUGUACGAAAAUGUAUUAACUCUGUAAAUCUUUUAUUAAUUUUAAAUGUUAAUUACAUACUUAUUUAUAAAUUUAUAGGGUCAGCUUCAGGUGAGAACCUGAAGCGUGAGAACUUUCAAUCAUUGCCCUUCAUCUACAUCCGACGGUCAUUAAUUUAAUUCAUUUUUUCUAUUAUUUGGGGGAAGAUCCUCAUGCAUAAUCUCUAUUUUGUCAUCAUUCACUAACAACAUCCUUUUGUCCAAUGUGUUUUGUCACCAUUCACAUCUACUUUUCUCACCUACUUUCCACCUACUUUUCACUUUUACCCUUCUCUCUUACUCACGUUUCCUCCCUUUCCUUCAUCCCCUUCUUAAACCCUAUUUCCUCACAUUCCUUACCUCUAGUCUCUUUUAACAUUUCUAACCUUCUUUAUAUCCUCUAAAAAAAUGGUCAUCGGAUCUCCCCACAUAUCUGCCCAGGUAUGUUGUUCGUUUUUUCCCCCACUCUAUUUCCCUCCUCAAUAAGGUAUUUUCAUGAAGGGUUGGGUUUGCAUUAUUUGUACUUUUAUCUUCAAUCUCUUUCACAGUGCACAGUACACAGUGCACUGCACACAGUACAUAGUGCAUAGUUAAUAUUCGACACUAAUAUUCGAUUACGCAUAGUGCAAAUUGCAUACUUAAUAGUGAAUAGUACAUAGUUCAUACAACACAUUCGUGCGUAGCACGUACUACAUAGUUCAUAGUGUAUAGUGCAUAGUUCAUAGUGUAUAGUGCAUAGUUCUUAGCGUUAUAAUACAUAGUAGCGUUAUAGUGCAUAUCGCAUAGUGCAUAGUGCAAUAGUGCAUAAAGACAAUAAGCACCAAUUCUUUCCCGGGCCCGUGCAUCCUCUUUUCGCUGGUGGUCAGCCUGGUACCUCGGGUCGGCAAGGCAGGAAGGGCAAACACAAGGAACGUCCGACUCAGGAUACGACACAUCUGUAUUCGAUUCCGCAAAUAACUAUUCAAUUCUCAUGAAAAUAAAACCGAUACUAUAAUUUUCAAAAAAAAAAUUUACUUACUCGCGGCAAAGGUGCUAGGCAAUGGCCUUCCUGUGCAUAUUAGCGUUAUAGUGCAUAUCGCAUAGUGCAUAGUGCAAUAGUGCAUAAAGACAAUAAGCACCAAUUCUUUCCCGGGCCCGUGCAUCCUCUUUUCGCUGGUGGUCAGCCUGGUACCUCGGGUCGGCAAGGCAGGAAGGGCAAACACAAGGAACGUCCGACUCAGGAUACGACACAUCUGUAUUCGAUUCCGCAAAUAACUAUUCAAUUCUCAUGAAAAUAAAACCGAUACUAUAAUUUUCAAAAAAAAAAUUUACUUACUCGCGGCAAAGGUGCUAGGCAAUGGCGCUCUCCGUUUAUGGGUCAUUUUCUUAAAUAAUGACCUGUAUAAAUAAAACAAUAAAUUUUUGGUUUUGGUAAAUAAGAUCAAAAGACAAUGGAAACGAUAGACUCCUUGUUUUAUUUCGAGAGAGUAACUGGGGAAAAAUUCCAUAUGAAUGGGAAGUCAAUAUCUGAUAACUAUUAUGUUCAAAAAAAUCAGUGGCAAAUAGAACUUUCAAUGCAAAUUAUAGUUUUAAGAAAACAUAACAAAGAUGACUUUUCAACAACAAAGAUAACUUUCCAAAAAAUUGAUAUUUUUGAAUCGAUGCAUGAAAAUAUUAACUAACCACACACUGAUCAGAAAUACAUAACCACUAAGAUCGUUAAAAAAAUCAAUGAAUAUGAUGCAUCCUAUAAUUCAAAUGACAAUAAGCAGCACAAAAUCAUGUAAAAAAGACAGAAAGCCAUUGCUUUCCGAUCCAUCUAUGGCUUAUCUCUGUAUAUUGGAGCCAAAUACAAUAUUAUGGUAUGCCAAAUACAAUAUGAUUCAUGAGAGCCCAGAAAAACAUAUAAAACACUAAAUUAUUCGUGCAAAUUCCACAAUGCUAUAAACAAUUUAUUAGAGAAAUGUAAGGUAUUUAUUAAUAGUCAGAAAAACUAUUGUGGUUGUUAUGCAUUAUACGCGUUCUGAUAGAAAGACGUUUUGAUCUGCUAACUAGGGGAAAAGAAUCAUGAACACUAACGGGAAUAACAUAAAUACGAGAUGAAAAAUAAAAUGGGAAGGAAUAACUACAAAUCAGAACCGUGUUUUAUAGAUGGAGUGAAUAAGGGGGCCGCCUAUGAAGAGAACUAUUUAAAGACCCAUUACCAAGAUCACAUCAGGCUUAAAAAAAUAGUAUAUAUAGAAAAAAAACGGAUUCCAUUUCCAAGAUCUAAAAGGGAGGAAAUAAGCUAAAAACAUCUAAAAGGAAAGAAAUAAAAAACCCAUUCUAAGAUCUAAUAGAUCGUAGAAAAGAUGGGAAAAGAGGGGAAAAAAGAAAUAAAAAAAAAACCAUUUCUAAGAUCAACAAGAUCAUGGAAAUGAUUUAAAUACAUACCCAUCAGAUUCUUAGAUUUUUAUCUUUGAAUUGAGGGGAAAAAAUGAGGAACAACAAAGGGGAAAGAUUAAUACGGUAAUGGCAGACUUCCCAAAAAUGAUAAACCCAAAAAUCAUAAAACACCAAAACUGAAAUUUUAAGAGCACAUACCUGAGGAGGGAACGUGUUCGACCUGGCCAGCGCCUUCCUAUUGCGAUCAGCACUAGAGUUCGAUAUGACAAGCUUUGAGAGGGAGAGGAUGUGGAGACAACGUUGGAAAAAAUCGCCACUGGGGUAAAGAGGGCUACGAGAAAAUCGAAAUGCAGGUUAAAAUGGAUGUGGAAUGGAUGGGUUUCAUCAUAGGCAUACUGAAUACAGGUACCGGAUUGGUACAGUCGAAUCCUCCUUCCGUCCAUCGGUCUUUAGGAUGCUCAGUGGACAACGGUUUGCAGGUGUGACAAUGACUCUGGAAAAAGCACACAUGACCUGUGGACGGUUAUAAUUAAAUCAGUUGGAUUGAACGAUCAAGAUUAAGAUCGCACAUAGUGCGCAUAUAACGGUUCUCAGCUGAAGCGUUCUGUAAAUUUAUAAUCAACAGUUACAACUCAAUGACUAAAAACAUAAUUUCUAUUUUAACUAUUGUGGCCGAUCCGUUUACAGCCCAUUGGAAUUGGAAUAAAAACUUCAAUCAAUUUUAUUGAAACUAUUGCACUGAGUAACUUUGACUUCUUUAUUAAACGUUUCACGAGUGUUGGUCAUUUUGUCUGUAUAGUUAAACUUGAUACAUAAUUGUUAAAAGGUUUAUAAACUAUUAGAAAUUAUAUUUAAGUCCUAUUACAGUGUUAUCAGUUUAAAUACUCUCUGUUUUAGUAUUACCUAAACUAAGCUAAUUUCUUUAAUAUGUCUUAAUAUUGUUAAGGUUUUCCUCUACAUUAAGGAUGAUCCGAAUUGAUAUUCAAAUAUAUUAUAAGGAUAUAAUCGAUAUAUACUCAUUAAUUUAAUUAAUCAAAUGAUUUGAUUUGAUUUGAUUUUAUAUGAUUUGAUUUGAUUUUAUAUAAGAGCAAAAUAAAGAGGAAGGGAGAAAAUAAUAGUGUGAGAAAUUUAGAUUUUGGUUUCUCGAUUUUCGAAUUUCGUAUUGAUUUUCUUCAUAGAUCCUCUUGGUGUUUUGUUCGAACUGAAGUUUAUCCGGAAGAGGAUCGAAAUCAUCAAUUUGGUAACCUCAUUCUUCUUCUAUUUUUUUGUUCUCUUGUGGUUUGAUCUUUAGGGUUAGGAAAUACUUUCACUUGAUGUUUUAAGUUUUUGUUUGAGCUUCAAAUAUGUUUUUAUUAUUGACCCAACAAAUAUUACAUGAUUUUCAUCCUUGGAUGAAGAUUGAUUGACAGAUGUGUAAAUUUUUAUAUAAAAUCUUAACCUGAAUUUUUUCGAAUGAAAAUAAUGUAAUCAUUUUUUCAUCAUAGUUCCAACUUCCAAAGGCUUAUUUUGUUUUGAAUUAGGCUUUUAAUAGUUGGGCCGACUGCUCUCAUUACUCCAAACUUUUAUACUUCACCCAGUUUUCUCAUUAAUGGAGCAGAUAUAUUAUAAUCCAUAAAAGAUUUACAUGAUCUUCCAAGCCUAUUCCCCAUUAGAUUCUCUGCUACAUCCCCAAAUCUAUUGUAUACCUUUCAAUUAUCUUUCACCUUUAUUCUUGUCCUCCAACUGUUUUCUCUUUUCUAUUAAUAAACUUCACUGCCAUUUCCCAAUUCACCUCUCAACUAACUGGUUUUUCUUCUUCUUCUUCUUCUUUUAUCUGUUCAUCUCAAGAAACAAUGGUCGGAGAGAAAGCAAAAGAGAAACAAACGAUCGGAGAAGUCCCGGACUGCCAGUACUUGCAGGAAGAGGCAGCAACACUGGUGAAACCCAACACAACGGGCGCAAGCAAAGGAGAUGUUAUGUAUCUAUCCAACCUGGAUACCCAGAAGUUUUUGAGAUUUUCCAUUAAGUAUCUCUACGUUUACAAGAGAUGUGUUGAUGUGGAAGUGUUUAAGUCUACACUGUCAAGAGCAUUGGUUGAAUACUACCCUCUAGCAGGCAGGUUGAGGAGCAGUUCUGGUAGUGAUGGCAGCAGUAACUUGGAGUUGGACUGCAGUGAAGAAGGAGCUUUGUUUUUUGAGGGAAAGAUGGAUAUGACAGUAGAGUUUUUCAUGGAUGGAAUAAAGAAACCAAAUAGGUCUUGGAAGAAGUUGUUGUAUAGGAUUGAAGGUCAAAGCUUCGUUGAUGUUCCUCCUCUUGUCAUUCAGGUCACUCCACAAUCAACUUUCAUUUCAUUUUAAAAUAAAUUAACAAAAUCAAAACAUCACUUUAAUUCAAUUUCAUAUCAUUUAAAUCAUUAUCGAUAAGAACAAAUAGGAUUAGAUAAUUGUCGAUAGAUAUGAUUUAUUGAUUUUAUUCCUCUUACUUUAUCUAAUCUUGCUGUAUCUCACUUCACUUCUGUUCACAGUUCGUACAUACAUACAAAAUUUUACGUACAUAUAUGCCCUUUCAUCAGUUCAUGUGAUCUGACUCAUCUAGUCUAUUUAUGUUGUUCGAAGACAUAGUGUUUUGUGGGACCCAUAUAUAUUCCAACUGUUUUUUUCGUCUUCUUUUUUUCUAGCUGACGCAUUUGAGGUGUGGUGGAAUGAUACUAUGCAUGGCGAUCAGCCACGCUAUCUGUGAUGGUAUAGGCACAUCACAGUUCCUCAAUGCUUGGGCUCAGUUGGCUGUGACACCAGACGCCGAAAUCUCCCUCACAGAUGCUGCCCAUCUCCGCCGCAUACUCAAGCCUCGCUCGCCGCCAAAGAUUACUGCAUCUCAUUUGGAGUUCAAAGUUUUGAAUACUGGUCCUGAGUUUGAUUUUGACCUUCUUAAAUGGCUAGUUUCUCAGCCACUCGUGCCUGUCUCCGUGACCUUCACUUCCGCCGACGUGCUCCGUCUCAAACAACAGUGUGUACCAUCGCUUAAGUGCACCUCUUUUGAAGCUCUGGCAUCUCAUGUGUGGAGAAUCUGGAUCAGGUCUCUCGUUGUCUUACCAUAUAAUCUCAUCGUCAAGCUCCUCUUCUCUGUGGAUGUCCGCUCACGGCUUCGACCGCCACUUCCCACUGGAUACUAUGGCAAUGGGUUCGUUCUUGGCUGUGCUCUAGCAACAGUUGAAAAUCUAGUUACAUGGAACCUUCGCCAAGUGAUCGAACUGAUACAAGAAGGUAAGAAACGUCUCGAUGAUGAUUAUGUCAGGUCCAUGGUCGAUCUGAUGGAGGAAAACAGGAUCAUCAAACCAGAUCUCUCUGCUAGCCUGGUCAUUUCACAAUGGUCUAAAUUAGGACUUGAAAAUUUAGACUUCGGUGCAGGGAAACCUGUUCACAUGGGACCGUUGGCUAGUGAAGUGUAUUGUCUUUUUCUGCCGGUGGUCGGUGAUGUCAAUUCCUUCACAGUCUUAUUGUCGGUUCCGGAGAAUAUUGCCGAGGAGGUGGAGUUUGGUCUGAAGGAAGUCUCUGGACUUACUACUGCUUCCAUGGAAGAAGAUCAAGUGGAAAGCCGAAGACAUUUUAUGGGUGCCCUUAAUAAUAUUUGAAACAUUUAAAUUUCAAAAUCACAGUUCAGAGAUUAUCUUAAUUUUCACAUUUAUUAAGGUUGAUGUAAACUAAAUCAAUCUCGAUCAAAAUCUAUUUCAAUUAAUUAUGAUUAACAGAAAAGAAGGACCGGGCUUUGUAAAAUCGAGCAAUUGUAGCCCAUUUCACAAUCUUCCAUCUAUUUUGGGCUGGAUUUUAUCUUGUUUGUCUUUCUGAUCAUUCGGCCUUCUAUUUCAUUUGGUUUUCUGGUCAAAAAGAAACCAACAGACUUUGUUAAUCAGUUUUGGGGAAGCCAAAGGACUCCAGUUCCUUCACUUUAAAUUAAAAUAGACUCAACUGAUGAUGUUAUUUUUUUAUAAUGCAUAUCGGAAGUCGUCGUCAAAACAUAAGAGCAUCCACGAUGAGUUUUCUUCAUUCACCGUCGCAGGCUACAAAUAAUUGGAUCAAACACCUCUCAAUAUUAGAUCCUUACAAGAGGGGUUUUAGCUAGGGAGAUGGAGCGACCACAAGCUAUCUUAUAGUGGUCGCAACCAGCUGGUGCAGGUCCAAUGGAUUUUUUAUGAGAAAUUCAACUAUAUAAUAUAGUUGCUUUAAAAAAAACUAUAUGAUACAGAGCUGCUUAUUAGGUGCGACGUUGUUAAAGAUACCUAUGACAUAUGAUUCUUGUACAUCACCUAAAGGUAAACAUUUUUAUAUUUUGUAGACAUAUUAGGGUCUGUCUUGUUAAGGUUUCAAGUUUUUUUAGGAUAACAUUUACACACUUUCGCUAGGAGUGAGCGGGGACGGGGCGGAUUUUGCGUUCUCCGUCCCCGUAUCCGGUCAUUUUGAACAGUUAAUUUUUUAACUGUUCCCAAAAAUCGUCCCCGAGGGCGGGGAUCCUCGGUUAAUUUUUUUUAAAAUUAAUUAAUUUAUUAGUAUUAUUUUAAACAGUUAAUUACUAAAAAUAUUAAUGUCCCCACCCCAUCCCCGCUCACCCCUACUGCCCUAUUUCAUUUAAAAAAAAUCAGACCGAUCUUGCGAACUUGCGAAGCAUACCUUAGGACUUAGGAUCGAGUUAGGUCAGCAGCGGAGUUAGGAUAACAGCGGUGGAUUGGUGGAACAAUAAGAAUAGAAAUUAGAUUUAAUUUUUAAGGUUUUAUGUUUUUAAUUAGGAAUUUAUAUUUAUGAUAUAAAUUUAAUUUUAUAAUUUUAAAUAUAAAUUUAUCUAUUUAAUAUAUUGUAUAAGGUUAUUUAUAUAAAUUAUACAAUAUAAAUUUUUUUGGAGGUCAAUAUGCAAUUUUCUCCGGGUACGGGGAUUAUCUGGGACAAGGAUUUCGAUCCCCAUCCCCGUAGCCGGAAAUGACCAGGGAUUUCGGUCGGAGACGGGGACAGGGAAUUUUCAGCUUCGGAUAGAAAAAUCAUUUCUGUCCCUGUACCCGGACGGCCGGGUACAGGGAAUCUCACUUCUAACUUUCACACAUUUCGUUAUGCAUUUUUAAUCUGACAUUUUUAUGGUAUAUCUUGUUUAUUUUUUUAGGACAGGUUUCUUGUGCAUCGAAUUUCAAUGCGUCAAAAAAUCUUGAUCAUUAAAUCGACAUUUCGUUGUACAUGAGUUAGUAUCUUUUGUUGUACAUUUUCUUUUCCAUCGUACAUGUGUCAGUGUCUUUAACAGUACAUUAUUGUAGCUGUUGAAUUAAAAAUUAAAAGAUAAGAUUCACACGACGCAUUUUGGCACACCGACGUACGACACCUGAAAAUUACCAUAUUUUUUAAAUAUAACCUUGGAAUAAAUCUCGAGAGCCAAAUUAAAUUUCUAAAUUUAAUAGUUAUUGUAGCCAACUGACUAUAUAUAUUUUUGUUAAUUUUUAUGAGUUAUAACUUAUAGGCUUUGAAUUUUUUUUAAAAUUAAAUUAAAUGACGUCAUUGACGUACCGGUUACGACUCAUGUCGUGCACAGUGCUCUAACAAAUAUCCAUUGUAUUUGUUAGUUUGUUACAUACUUUUUUUUAUAAUACAUUUUAUUAAAAGAAAAAAUCGACGUGUUUCAACCAAUAGUUGACCGCCACGUAUUUAAAUUAGAUUCAAAGUCAUGUUAUUCAGCCAAGAAUAGCAAAAUGACAAUAUAACCCAUAUUUUUCAAAACUCAUAUCUGAACCUUAUAUGGGUAAUAUGGUAACCGUGCCAAUUUUAUCCUUUUUUAUGCAAAGGAGAGGACUUUCGCACGAGUGUAUUUCACGUUUGGUGUCUUGCCCCCAGCUGAAUCAUCAUUAAAUCUGGUAGAUCGUUCGCUGAGAUCAUUUUAGCUAAACUAGCGAAUAGACAACAUAAUAAAGCAUAAAGCGAUAAUUUGAAUUACCAAGAAUCCAAGAUUUAGGAUUUUUGAGUUGAAAUCGAUUAAAUUCAGUGUCCCGCGAGAUAAGAGAACACAGCAAUCGGGUUGGUUUAUAAAUUUAUACAAGGCGGAAUCCUCCAUUUCAAGACCCAGGGCCCAGGGUGUAAAUGACGACGAUGAAUUCCUCUUCUCUCCUCCUCCUUUUGGCGAUAAGCUCCGUUCUAUCUCUGGUUUCCGCAACAGUGUUCUUCGAGGAGAAAUUUGACGGUAAUAAUGUAGAUCGGAUUGUUCUAUCUUCCCAUCUUUAUCCUCCGUCAACUUUUUUCCUCUUUAGGCUAAAAUGUUACAGAUCUGAAGUGAUUAUGAAAAAUAGGUGUAGUUGAUAGAUCUUAAGUUUUGAAGCAUUGGAUUUUUAUUGUUGUUUCUUAUUAGCAAUUUAGAUUCAUUACAUUAUUUGAAGCGAUUUCACUUCGAUGUUGUGAGUUUUGCGUCAAAUUUUAGUGAACAAUGAUGCUGUUAAUAUGGUCUGUAGAGGCUUUGUGAUUUUCAUUUGACGUUAUUAUUGCCUAUCUGUACAUAUAUGAUUCAAAAUUUGAUGAGUUAGUUACCGGAUCUGGAAUUUAUUUAUUUUUAUCUGUAGAUUGUUAAUGUUUAUUGAUUAUAUUUGUAGGAGGGUAGCUAUGUAAUGGUUCGUAAUGUUGAUAUAUUUAUAUGGGACCCAUUUUCAGAAUGGUUUCGAUGCCGUCCAUCGGACGGUCCCGAACAUGGUACAGUGCUACUGCGGUUCCGACCAUGGUACGGUACCGUCGGAUGACCAUCGGUCGGAGAUCGUUGUGUCCGUACAAACGGACGUACCGUUCUGGAAAAUUUCUGUAUUUAUAUGUUUUAGUGCAUAGUUUUGGAAAAAAUAAGUUGUUGUUUGACUCACUGUGAUGUCUGUCCCUCCGUCGCAUUUGUUUCUCUCUCAAUUUAGAUUUUAUUUUUAUGGCAUUGAUCGUCGUUGGUUAAAACCUAAGAGUGCAUCAUUAAUCUAUUUUGUAUUUCCGUAAAAUUCGUAGAAUAUACCUUGUUAGGGUCAUUUAUUUGUUUCUAAUUAGCUGACCUUCUGUUUCAUCGUUGAAUAUUAUAGAUAAAUGGGUGGAUCGAUGGGUGAAGUCUGAUUGGAAAAAAGAUGAAAGCAUGUCUGGUGAGUGGAUGCUUACUGCUGGGAAAUGGAACGGCGACGCAGCAGAUAAAGGUAAAUUACGUCUAAACUCUACAUUUUUUUUUGAUAUUUUUAUACUGUGGGACAAAUUGUACAUAUUAUAUUUUUUCAAUCAAACAUCCAUAUAUAUUUGAUUUAACGGUGUUUAACUGUUUGUUGCAUAUUACGAUAUUUUACUAGAGUAAUUAGUGAUCUUUUUGGAUGGAUAUAUUUGUUGAAAGUACAAGAUACAAAUCUAAAUGGAUAGAUUUCCCUUAUAUGCAGGUAUCCAGACAAGUGAAGACUACAGGUUUUAUGCGAUUUCAUCGCAGUUCCCUGAAUUUUCUAACAAGGACAAGACAUUGGUGGUUCAAUUCUCUGUCAAGCAUGAACAGAAGCUUGAUUGUGGGGGUGGAUACAUCAAGUUGCUAAGCGGGGAUGUUGACCAGAAAAAAUUUGGUGGCGAGACACCUUACAGGUAUGUCAAAAAUCUAUGGUCACAUCUAACUCUUCUGUUGUUGCACUUUUCAUUCGUACUCUGUUACUGGAUUUUCAUUCGUUUAUAAUUGAUAUAUAUCAUCUUUACUCUUUGCAGUAUAAUGUUUGGACCAGAUAUUUGUGGUUACAGUACAAAGAAAGUUCAUGCCAUACUUACCCGUAAUGAGAAGAAUCACUUAAUCAAGAAGGAGGUUCCCUGCGAAACCGAUCAGCUAACUCAUGUUUAUACAUUUAUUAUUCGUCCUGAUUCAACCUACAGCAUUUUGAUCGACAAUGUUGAGAAACAAACUGGUAGUCUGUAUUCAGAUUGGGAUUUACUCCCUCCAAAGAAAAUCAAGGAUCCUGAUGCAAAAAAGGCAUAAUUUUUCUUUCAAACUCUUUAUUAUUACCAUUUCGUCAACGACUUAAAUUACCUAAUAGAAUUAUCCAUUUACAUGUGUAUAUGUCAACAUUGGUUUUCAAUCCAUUGUGCAGCCAGAAGAUUGGGAAGAUUCUGAGUACAUUCCAGAUCUUGAGGAUAAAAAACCUGAGGUGAUUUUUUUCUCACAGCAGUUCUAAUUUUGUAUUUUAAACAUCAAUCCUUCGUUUUUUAAGAAAUAUUCACUUGUCUGUUUUUUUGAAGUUUCAUGGCAUAUCUAAAAUAUAGAAUAUAUUGCUAAAUGUAGGGCUAUGAUGAUAUAUUGAAGGAGGUAACUGAUCCUGAUGCUACCAAGGUACAAUGAGUGGUGUGGUCUUCUUUUGGUUUUUUGUUAAUUGUUUGUCAAAAAAAUUAAUCAAGAAUCUCUAAUCAAUGAGUUUUUGUACUUUCUGAUUAACAGCCUGAUGACUGGGAUGAUGAGGAAGAUGGUGAAUGGACUGCACCAACCAUUCCCAACCCUGAAUAUAAGGGUCCAUGGAAGCAAAAGGUUAGUCAGGUUGAGCUUUCUUUUUAAAAUAAAAAUAAAUAGCAACUUCAGACUCAUAAUUUCUGCAUCAACAGCAAAUAAAGAAUCCAAAAUACCAGGGAAAGUGGAAGGCACCCAUGAUCGACAACCCAGGUGAGGGUUCUAAGGAUCAUUUUAACUCUCAUUGAUGUUAUCAAUUUUUUCGUCAUGUCUUGCGAUGAAAACGAGUUUUCUUUCGCAGAUUUCAAGGAUGAUGCUAAUCUCUAUGUUUUCCCCAACCUUAAAUACGUUGCCAUUGAGUUAUGGCAGGUGAACUUCUAAUUUGACAUUGCCAUUUAUGUUAGUACAUCUUUUUGAGAAUUCUGUGUUAUUUGUCUGUGAUUGGUAAUCUGUAUAAAAUGUUAUAAACUCUUCAGGUUAAAUCUGGUACUUUAUUUGAUAAUAUUCUUAUUACCGAUGAACCUGAAUAUGCACUGAAAUUUGCUGAAGAUACUUGGGGAAAGAACAAAGAUGUAUGUUUGGUUUUUCUUCUUCUUUGAUGCUUGCAGAUUUAAAUUAUGCCAUGUGUUUCUGAUUCUAUCUUUUUAUAUGCUUGCAGGCUGAAAAGGCAGCCUUUGAUGCCGAAGAGAAAAAGAAGACUGAAGAGGUGAAAUCUUUAUUUCUGAGUUUUAUUUCUAAUAGACGACACUGUUAUUCAGUUUUUUAUUAAUAGUGAGUUUUUAAUUUUAACAGGAGGAAAGUAAAAAGAGUGAUUCUGAAGAUGAAUCUGAUGUAAGUAAUUUAGUUUUAAUGUUUGUUGGUUCAGACUUCAGAAUGUUCGUAAAUCUGUAUUAUAUUUUUUUAAAGAUUACAAUACUUCUUCGUUCAUUUUUUGUUUAUGUAUUUUGUACAGGAUGAGAAAGAUGAUGAUGGUGCUGAAGAUAUAGAUGAUUCAGAAGAUGAUGAAGGGAAACUUGAUCACGUAGACAUUCAUGAUCACUAUAAUUUUUUUAUCUUUGUUAUGCAAUUGACUGGGAGUCGUAUUAUUCUAACUUGUUUGCAAUUCUCUAUUUUUCAGGACGAGUUGUAGGAGAAAGCAUGGUUUUUUCUGGAGAGUUCAGUGAGAAAGUUGUUUUGAAUAAUAGUCUAAUUUUUUUGGGAGAAACAGAUUUUGUUUAUUUAAACAUGCUAAAUGUUUUGCUGAGUGCAUGAAUUGAAGUAAUUAAAAUUUUAAAGUUUAAAUCCUUGGAUUCAGUGUUCUAUUAUUUGCAUGAUUUCAAAUGGGUUGCUUACUUGUUUGUCCUUGAAAUCCUUAUUUUUAAAAUUUUAGGUAAGGGUGAGAAUGAGCCCGGGUCUACUGGCGGUCCAAGUUCAGACCAAUUCGUUAGGGUUGGGUUACAAGUCUUUAUCUUACUUAUAAGUCCGACCCGGCCAUUUUUCAGGUCGGACCCAAGUUGGAUUAAAGCCCUGUCGUUUCUGACUCGGUUUUUAACUUUUUAUAUACUGAUCGAUUGGACGUACGGGAUAGAUUUGGGCAUACGGAUCCUAAAUCAGUCGAGAUUACCUAACUCCGGAACAAGAUUACCAAACUCCAGCGAAAGCUAGUUAUGAGUUUUUUAUUUUAUUUUAUUUUUUAUUUUUUGCAAAUACUAGUCAUGAGUUGUUGGAUUCACGUAAUGAGUAUCGUGAAAGGUGAUGGAAAAAGUAAAAUUGACGUGAUGUUUUUAAAAAUAAUGAUUUAAAUCUCAAAACAGUUUUAAAACUUGGUUACACUCACACAGUUCCACAUGGUUACACAGUUACACUGUAGUUCUCGAGAUUGGGUAGGAAAAAUUUCAUUAAAACCCUAUAGAAUACAAAAACAUGUCAGAGUCAUUCGAUGGAUCACAUAUGUUCCGUGUCCAAUAUACAAUAAUCCUAACUUCAAUCUUCAUCUAUCUCCGCAGUCCGCACCUUUAGUACCCGCUUAACCAUCAACCUAAUUCCUUUUUUUUAAUCAAGAUCCAGGGUUUUCUUCAGGCAUCUUCCUAGUUCAGUGUCUCAAAGACCUAGUUCUAAAAUUAUCAGAAUAUGAAUCAGAGUUAACUAAUUCAGUUAAUUGUUUAGGGAAAGUAAUUAGUAUAACUGACACAAAUAUAAAUAUUAAUUAGAGGUAAAUGUACUACAUGUUUUACUGAUAACAAUCUUGAAUCUUUAUUCACUGUAAAUCAUUCUUCCCUCUCGAGCAACUGAUUGUCGUUUUCGAUAAAAAUCGAAACACUCACAAAGAAUUUAUGUAACUUCAUGCAUACACAAAGUAUACCAUAAAUUUAAUCUCAAAAAACCCUUUUUAAUUAAAUAUCGACAGCGAUGGACCGUAAAAUAUCCAUACUUCAUUUUAUAUCAUAUAUUCAUAUCUUAAUUUCAAUUUUUAAAGGUUGUUAAAUGUUAUUGUUAAUGCUAAGUCCUACUGUCCCAACAGGUUAACAAUUUACACAUAAGGAAUUUAUUAUUAUCUUAUUUUAAUAAAAGAAAAAAAUCGACGUGUUUCAACCAAUAGUAGACCACCACGUGUUUCGACGAAAAAUUUAAAGUUAUAUUAUCAGCCAAUAGCAACAGAAUGACAAUAUAUAACCCAUAUCUUUUGAAAAAUUACCACAGCAACUACUAGGUUACAUACUUACAUCGUAACCUUGAAUGGUUAUUAUAGUAAUCUUAUUAUUUAUAAGAAGAGGGGAGGACUUUGCACGUUUGCACGAGUGGAUUUCACGUUCGAUGUCUUAUCUCACCUGACUCCUCACUAAAAUCUGGUAGAUCGUUCCCUGAGCUCAUUUUAACUAAACUAGUAAGUUGCGAGUCUUCUCUUAGUUUAAAGCGAUAAUUUGGAUUGUUAAGAAUCCAAGAUUUUGAUUUUUGAGUUGAAAUCGACUAAAUUCGGUGUACCGCGAGAUAAGAGAACAUAACAGUCGGGUUGGUUUAUAAAUUUAUAGAGGGGGCGAAAUCCUCCAUUUCGAGAUCGAAGUGUGAAUGAUGAUGGCGACGAAUUCCUCUUCUCUUCUUCUCUUCCUUGUGGCGAUAAGCUCCGUUCUAUCUCUUGUUUCCGCCGCAGUGUUCUUCGAGGAGAAAUUUGACGGUAAUAAUGUAGAUCGGAUCGUUCUAUCUCCCCAUCUUCAUUUCCGUUAACUUUUCUCCUCUUUAAACUAAAAUGUUGCAUCAUUAUAGUGGGAUCUAGCCAUAGAUCGAUGAUGAUUAUGAAAUAUAGUUGAAGUUGAUAGAUCUGAAGCUUUAAAGCAUUUGAUUUUUGUUUUAUUUUUGCUUAUUCGCGAUCUAGAUUCUAUUCAUUUAUCUUUGCAAUUUCACUUCAAUAUUACGAGUUUUGCGUCGAAUUUUGGUGAGCAAUGAUGCUGUUAAUAUGAUCUAUUGAGGCUUUGUGAUUUUCAUUUUAUGUUAUAUUGCCGAUCUGUUAUGGAGUAUGCGGAUAGAAUAUUACAUAUGCGAUUUAAAAUUUGAUGGGUUAGUCAUUGGAUCUGGAUUUUAUUUUUAUUAGAUAUCAGAUAUAUUUAUACUGUAAUGCACAGUCAAGUAAUCCGUUUUGGAGAAGAUAUGUUGUCGUUUGAAUGAGUAUUACUUUUAUGCGUCUCUGUGGUGUUUCUUUCUUUGUAGACUUGUAGUGACUAGCUAGUCUCUAUUUGAAUAUAGACUUUUUAAUAGAAUUGAUGAUAUAUUUUUAUUCAUGGAUAAAACUUGAAAGUGCACCAUUAAUCUAUUUAGGAGAAUUCUACUUUGAAUAUACUUUUCCUCUGUUUACUUCUUAUUUGGAGAAUAUUAUAGAUGGAUGGGGGGACCGAUGGGUGAAGUCUGACUGGAAAAAAGAAGAUAACAUGUCUGGUCAGUGGAUGCUUACUGCUGGGAAAUGGAAUGGUGAUGCAGCUGACAAAGGUAUACGUUUAAUUUCAUUCAUUGUAUAUAACAAAAUUUUCAAUCAAACUACCAAAUUUAUAUUUGAUUUAAUGGUGUUUAUUGCAGAUUGCGAAAUUUUACUAGAGUAAUUAAUGAUUUCUUUGGAUGGAUAUUUUUUUUUCAAAGUACAAGAUACAAAUCUAAAUGGAUGGAUUUCCCUUAUAUGCAGGUAUCCAGACAAGUGAAGACUACAGGUUUUAUGCGAUUUCAUCGCAGUUCCCUGAAUUUUCUAACAAGGAUAAGACAUUGGUGGUUCAAUUCUCUGUCAAGCAUGAACAGAAGCUUGAUUGUGGGGGUGGAUAUAUCAAGUUGCUAAGCGGGGAUGUUGACCAGAAAAAAUUUGGUGGCGAGACACCUUACAGGUAUGUCAAAAAUCUAUGGUCACAUCUAACUCUUCUGUCGUUGCACUUUUCAUUCGUAAUCUGUUACUGGAUUUUCAUUCGUUUAUAAUUGAUAUAUAUCAUCUUUACUCUUUUGCAGUAUAAUGUUUGGACCAGAUAUUUGUGGUUACAGUACAAAGAAAGUUCAUGCCAUACUUACACGUAAUGAGAAGAAUCACUUAAUCAAGAAGGAGGUUCCCUGCGAAACCGAUCAGCUAACUCAUGUUUAUACAUUCAUUAUUCGUCCUGAUUCAACCUACAGCAUUUUGAUUGACAAUGUUGAGAAGCAAACUGGUAGUCUGUAUUCAGAUUGGGAUUUACUCCCUCCAAAGAAAAUCAAGGAUCCUGAUGCAAAAAAGGCAUAAUUUUUCUUUCAAGCUCUUUAUUAUUAAUUUAUUACCAUUUUGUCAACGACUUAAAUUAUCUAAUAGGAUUAUCCAUUUACAUGUGUAUAUGUCAACAUUGGUUUUCAAUCCAUUGUGCAGCCUGAAGAUUGGGAAGAUUCUGAGUACAUUCCAGAUCUUGAGGAUAAAAAACCUGAGGUGAUUUUUCUCUCAGAACAGUUCUAAUUUUGUAUUUUAAAUGUCAAUCCUUAGUUUUUAAAGAAAUGUUCAUCUAUCUGUUUUCUUUGUGUGUCUGUCUAGCAUCAGGAUAUAGAUUUAAUAAUUUAGAACUUCAUAAAUCUAUAUUAUCCAUAGUUCAAAAAGCGGAAAAGCGGUCAGCUUUUCCAUUGACCGCUUUUUCAGCUUUGAGCGCUUUAGCGCGCUUAAAGCUGAAAAAGCGGUAGUGGCAUUAUUGUAAAUAAUUGUAAUUUUAUUAAAAAUAUAUAUAAAAUAUAUAUAAACCUGUAAUUAUUCAAGACGUCAUCCAAAUUAUUUGAAAAACAUUUACAAGUCAUAUAACCUAAUCAUCUAGACGUGCACCAAUAUCUAUAUUAUCUCUUAAAAUUUCUUCCAUUUCAUUCAUGCAAUGAUGAAAUUGGGAUUCAGUUCCCAUAUCUCUAGGGUUUUGGAAGAAAUAGAAGUGAGAGUGAUAAAGGAAAUUAGGGUUUUAUUAGAAGGGUAUUGGGUUUAUAUAGUUAGAUAGAAAUUGGAGGGGUAGGAAGGGAAAUUAAAAUAGUUUAAGUUAUUUCACAUGGGUAAUGGGUUGUCCCAACCCAAUAACCCAACCCGACCCGACAACCCGACCAGAAAAAGCGUUUUAGAAAGCGGUCCUGGAGGACCGCUUUGCCACUUAAAGCUAAAAAAGCGACGCUUAAAGCGUCGCUUUUUGAACUAUGAUAUUAUCAAUUUACCACAGUUUUAUUAUUUCUGUUUAACCGUAUUGUGUAUGAGAUGUGAUAUUUUUUGCAAUGUAGCACCUGUAAGAUUUUUGGCUAUCUGGCUGUUUAUUUUUUGGAGUUUCAUGGCUUGUCUAAAAGAUAAAAUAUAUUGCUUAAUGCAGGGCUAUGAUGACAUCAUCAAGGAGGUAACUGAUCCUGAUGCUACCAAGGUACAAUGAGUGGUGUGGUCUUCUUUUUGUUUUCUGAUGAUUGUUUGUCAAUUUUUUUAGUCAAGAAUCUCUCGUCAAUUUAUAAAUAAUUUUUCACUUUCUGAUUAACAGCCUGAUGACUGGGAUGAUGAGGAGGACGGUGAAUGGACUGCACCAACCAUUCCUAACCCUGAAUAUAAGGGCCCAUGGAAGCAAAAGGUUAGUCAGGUUGAGCUUUCUUUUUAAAAUAAAAAUAAAUAGCAACUUCAGACUCAUAAUUUCUUCAUCAACAGCAAAUAAAGAAUCCAAAAUACCAGGGAAAGUGGAAGGCACCUAUGAUCGACAACCCAGGUGGGGUUCUUCUAAGGAUCAUUCUAACUCAUCGAUGUUGUCAAUUUUCUCGUUUUAUUCUUGCGAUGUUAAUGAGUUUUCUUUUGCAGAUUUCAAGGAUGAUGCCAAUCUCUACGUUUUCCCCAACCUUAAAUACGUUGCCAUUGAGUUAUGGCAGGUGAACUUUUAAUUAUAUUACCAUUUAUGCUAGUACAUCUUGUUGAGGCCUGAGGGUUCUGUUUUAUUUGUCAUUGUGAUUGGUACUCUCUAUAUAAUGAUAUAAACUCUUCAGGUUAAAUCAGGCACCUUAUUUGAUAAUAUUCUUAUCACCGAUGAGCCUGAAUAUGCACUGAAAUUUGCCGAGGAUACUUGGGGAAAGAACAAAGAUGUAUGUUUGGUUCUUGAUUUUCUUUGAUGCUUCCCGAUUGCAAUUGUGUCAUGGGUUUCUGAUUGUUUUCUUCUUCUUUCUUUUUUAUAUGCUUGCAGGCUGAAAAGGCAGCCUUUGAUCUAGAAGAGAAAAAGAAGUCGGAAGAGGUGAAUUCUUUAUUUCCGCGCUGAGUUUUAUUUCUAAUAGACAAUGUUCUUCAGAUUUUUAAUUAAUAGCGAAUUUUAAAAUUUAAUAGGAGGAAAGUAGAAAGAGUGAUUCUGACGAUGAAUCUGAUGUAAGUAAUUUAUGUUUAAUGUUUGUUGGUUCAGAAUGUUAAUAAAUCUGUAGUAUAAUUUUUUUAAGAUUGUAAUACAUGGUUUAUUUUUUGUUUAUGUAUUUUGUAUAGGAUGAGAAAGAUAAUGAUGGUGCUGAAGAUACUGAUGAUUCAGAUGACGAUGAAGGGAAACUUGAUCAUGUACAAUUCGUGAUCACCUUUGUUUUUUAUCUGCGCUGUUCUGCAAUUGUAUUUGUAAUUCACAGUUUUCUAACUUGUUUGCAAUUAUUUACUUUUCAGGAUGAGUUGUAGAACACAUGGUGUUUGCUGGAAUGUUUUGUGAAAAAGCUAUUUUGGAUGUUGAUGAUUUAAGUUGGAAUUAUAGGUUUAUUAGUUUCCUCACGGAUUAUGUCGCAAUCGUGGUACUUUUGUCCUAUAAUUUAUAAUAGUCUACAAUUGUGUUUAGGAAAAAUGUUUUUGCCGGUUUAGAACUUAUUAUGUUUGUUUGAUGAUUUCUUGUCCUAAGUUGGGAGAAACAGAUUUUGACUUUUUAAACAUGUAAAAUGUUUUGCUGUAAGCAUGAGUUGAAGUAAUUAAAAUUUAAAACCCUCGAAUUCAGAGUUUUAGAUAAUUCCGAUUUCCUAGAGUUUUCAAUGUAUUUUUUAUCAUUCCAAUCUUAAUCUAAAAUUUUGGAAAUACAAGUUUAUUUGCAAGAUUUUCUUGUUAUGUAAAUGGGCUUGCUUUGUGGACUGUGGUAUUUAAUAUUUGUGAUAUUCAUUUACUGUUUAUCACUAAAAUAAGUUAGAUAUUCAUUUACUGUUUACGAUAUUCAUUUUUGGUAUUAUAAUAUAAGGCUCACGGCACACCACAUCUCUUCUUACAUCUCGUGGCAUGGAAAUAAACACGAGUAAGAUAUGUGUGUGGUUUUUGAUUCUUCAAACAAUUUCAAUUGCUCAACUUACAAUUCAAAUUUAAUCAAAUCUUUGCUACUUGUAAUAUUAAUUGGAAAAUAUGUGGGUCUAAACUAUUCAAUAGUUAUUUAGAUUUUAGUCCGAGAGCCAGAGGUGAAAAAAAAUAUCGAUAGAUAUUUGUUUUUUUAAUCUUUAUCUUUAUUAAUUUGACUAUUGGCUUGUUAGUUGUUAAUUAUCACUUUGAUUCCUUUGUAAGUUGUCUGAUCAAUUCUAAUCUAAUCUUUUGUAAAUUUUCUUUAAAAAAAAUUGAUAGAUUCGAUUCUUGGAAAUUGGUAAUUGUGAUUUCAAACAAAAAUUGACAAAUAUACAGUGCUCUUCUAAUUAAAUUUGUAUUUUUUUUUAAAGAUAAUAAUAAUUUUAUCUUCGAGUUAUUAGUUGUUACUUUUAAUUUCAUUCAUUCAUUCAUUGAUUUGUGCAUUUCUCUCCUCUGACUCUCUGUUUCUUUUGCUAUAUAUAUUGCGUAGUGCCGUAGUAUAUACACACACACGGGCCACGGUACACUUCAUUCCUUACCAAACCCAAACUUUGGUAAUUACUAAUCAGUAAUCAGCAUUCAUCAGAGUAAAGAAUAGACAUUAUUGGGUUGUGGUGUGUGUGUUUUUUCCUCAUUCUAGGUUAUUUUAUCAGUUUCUGUUAAGUGUUGUUUGCCCUUUUGACAAUCUGGGUUGUGGGUGUUUUACAGAAUAAUGUCUUUGGCAUGUCCAAGUUUGCAUUUUGGCAAUAAGGGAUUGGAGUUGGCCACUUCCUGUGCUGGUUGUUCUUUGAAUAUCAUCAAUAGUAGCGGCAGCAGGAAGAAAUACAGUUACGGUGUAAAGUCUGUUAUUCAAAGCAAAGGGUUUCGUUCCCGUAGGUCAGGUGGUCGAUGCUUGGUCUCAAUCGCACCAAAUGCUCCGGGUAAGUAGGAAUUCCAUCCAACUACCUCUUUCUUUCUGUAAUUUGACUAAUAUUUGUAAUGACUAAUGAGUAAUGACCCUAUAUUUUUAUUGAUUUUAUUACAGGUGAUGCUUCUGUUGGAACUCCUACUACUCCUAUUUCAGUGUCAUCUCUGUUGGAUACAGUUUCUGCUGACCUUCAGACUCUAAACAAGAAUCUGAAAUCUGUAAGUACCUGUCACCCAAUUAAGUAAUUACUUGCCAUCUUCAUCUGAUUAAGAUCAUUAAUAAUCAAACUGACAAAUUUCGGUUGUUUUAGAUUGUUGGUGCAGAAAACCCAGUCCUAAUAUCCGCUUCUGAACAAAUAUUUGGUGCCGGUGGAAAGAGAUUGCGACCUGCUUUAGUAUUCUUGGUUUCAAGAGCUACAUCUCAAUUGGGUGGUUUCAAGUAAUCCAUUCCAUAAUUCCAUUUUCUCUUGUAUAUACAUAUAUAUAUGUUAAGUAACUUUAAUCUCAGGGAUCUUACAACUCAACAUCGUCGUCUAGCAGAGAUCAUUGAAAUGAUCCACACAGCAAGUUUGAUACAUGACGAUGUUCUCGACGACAGCGACACAAGACGAGGUAUGUAGUUAAAUUUAAAAUCUAAGGCAUGUAAGUAAUUUAAUUGUAUCUAUCUAUGAUCUAUCAACAGGGAAGGAAACUAUACAUCAAAUCUACGGUACUCGUAUCGCUGUACUGGCAGGUGAUUUCAUGUUUGCACAGUCAUCAUGGUAUCUUGCAAAUUUGGAAAACCUGGAUGUUAUAAAGCUGAUCAGCCAAGUAUGAAGUAUAUAUGUUGUUGUUCUGAAUGGGAAUAGCAUGACAAAAAAAAUUAAAAUAUAUCCAAAUUACCAAAUGAACAGGUGAUUAAAGAUUUUGCAAGUGGUGAGAUAAAACAAGCAUCAAGUCUGUUUGACUGUGACUUACCACUGGAAGAUUAUCUUCUGAAGAGCUACUACAAAACAGCAACUCUUAUAGCAGCCAGUGCGAAAUCUGCGGCGAUAUUCAGUGAAGCAAACGAGCAUGUGUGCAAUGAGAUGUUCGAGUAUGGAAAGAAUCUGGGUCUUUCAUUCCAAGUCGUGGAUGACAUUUUAGAUUUCACACAAUCAUCAGAGCAGUUGGGUAAACCUGCUGGGACUGAUCUUGCAAAAGGAAACCUGACGGCACCUGUAAUAUUUGCUCUACAGAAACAACCAAAUUUAAGAGAGAUCAUCGAUUCUGAAUUCAGCGAACCUGGUUCAUUGGAACGCGCGAUCAGGAUUGUAUUUAAAUGUGGUGGAAUCGAUC
RNAcentral lists this long non-coding RNA (51856 nucleotides) under Zostera marina. Its description in RNAcentral is "long non-coding RNA (ZMAR_LNC005657)". The record is from RNAcentral. Lineage: Eukaryota; Viridiplantae; Streptophyta; Magnoliopsida; Alismatales; Zosteraceae.